GUAAUUCUACUAUUAGAAGUGGAAAAAGAGUGAUGCUAAAUUCACAAAACUCCGUAGUUCAAUCGGACUAAAUGGGAAGUAUCAUAUCCAGCUCAAAAAUAAGUACUUGCUGCAGAAAAGUUAAUCAGUAAAAUCCUAAAGAACAUUAAGGUCAAAAUUCAGUAGAACCAGCCUUGCACCUUCUUAUCUAUGAUUCUGCGUUCGAUUUCUUCAGCAAAAGACUGAAUUUUGUAUCUCCAUCACAUUUUGUUUCCUAUACGUCCUUACCCAGGUGCGUGGUCCCCAGUGAACCUCGACCAUCCGGCAACAUUCCAAACACUGGCCAUGGACCUAGAGCUCAAGAAGAAGAUCAUGGAUGAUCUCGACAGGUUUGUGAGAAGGAGGGAGUACUACAGGAGAGUUGGCAAGGCGUGGAAAAGAGGGUACUUAUUGUACGGACCCCCUGGAACGGGGAAAUCAAGCUUGGUCGCUGCGAUGGCCAAUUACUUGAACUUCGACAUAUACGACCUAGAACUGAGCGGGCUCUGGAGCAAUGCGGAUCUCAGGAGGCUGCUCGUCGCGACCAAGAAUCAAUCCAUAUUGGUGGUUGAGGACAUCGAUUGCACCAUUCAAUUGCAAGAUAGGAAGUCGGAAACACAAGCCGCCAACAUGAAUUUGAUGUCGACGGGUCAUAAGCGACAAGAUCGAGUACAAUUUUUUCUUCUUGCUUUCUUUUUUAGUAUAAGUUCGAGUACCAUGAACAUGAUUUGUCCUCGACAUCUAACUCAUGUUUUUCCCUACAACAUUAAUUUUUUCCUCAUGGAAUAGGUGACAUUGUCUGGAUUCCUCAACUUCAUUGACGGGCUUUGGUCGAGUUGUAGUGAUGAGCGGAUCAUAGUCUUCACGACAAACCACAUUGAGAAAUUAGACCCAGCCCUAUUGCGGCCAGGGCGCAUGGACUUGCACAUUCCCAUGUCUUAUUGCACCCCUUGCGGGUUUAGGCUUCUCGCUUCUAAUUAUCUCGGGAUCGAUCACCACGAGCUCUUUGGCCAUAUCGAGAGUGCGAUCACAACAGCCAGAGUCACUCCAGCCGAAGUAGCGGAGCAGUUGAUGAAGUGCGACGAACCGGAGGUCGCUCUUGGGGACAUGGUUUCAUUCCUCAUUAAUCACAAGAGAAAAGAAAAUGAAGAAGUCAUUGAGGAGAGAGUUGGUCGGUCCCAAUUGGUUGAAGAGAAUGGAAGGCGUGAAGAAGAAAGCAGCGAGUGCGAACUAUUGGAAGAAUAAACAAUAUAUCAACUGUGUUGGUACGUUUCCAUCGAUUUUAACUUAGACCAUUAUGAAGAUCUUGAUUAUUGUGGAUUCAAUCACAAAAGCGAUCGAUGGAAAGCUAUCGUGUAUUAAUCCGAAUUAUUAAUAAUCUGAGUCCAAUGGUAAAAUCAUGUGAUCAAACAGAGUAAACGAACUCAAUUUAUAUGAUCUAUGAGCCAUGCGAUAUUUUUUAGCGAUUGAUAUUCAUAUAGUGCGGAUGGUAUAAUUUGCUUCAUAUAGUUAUCGCGUCAAGGACUUAUAAUCAGACACUGAUGAUAUCUCAUGUUUUGGGCCUCCCAUGACAUCUUGUAUUUGCUUGGAUUGGCUGAAACCAUUCCCUGUCCGAUUUAGACCAACCAUUGGGGUCAAGGUCAUUUCGGUCUUUUUGUUCCCCAUUGCCGAGAUGGAAAUUUUCUCUUUGGGUUUAAUAUUACAGGGGUUCUGGACUUAUUUGAGUUUGAUAUGAUAAUCCUCCAUUGCACACAUAUCGAAUAAUUACUAGAUUCACAUAGGUCUAUGCUCUGAGGAUAUGGUCUCAAGAAAAAUGCCCAAAUACGAUGGUUCGAAUCGGAUCGAUGAGCGAUAAGUGAAGAUAAGGUUAUCACUUGCGUAAUCUUUUAGGGUUUGUUUUUAUCCUAGAAAACGACAAGCUUAGCAAAAGCAGAACGACCGACAAAAGGUUCCACUAACCCUGGUUAUUCAUAUCGUGUAGUGGGAGUUAAGAAGAGAUUGUUAUAUAGAUCAUUUCUAAAUGCAACUGAUUUACUGGAAUUUUGAUAUUUAAAUAGUCCAGCCAAUCGAUGAACAGGUUUAUGCUAUUUAAUUAAAUGAAAUCGUAGUGGAAUGCGCCGUGAUUUUGCCCUUACAUCGAGAUGCAAAUUCAGUGAAUUUGAUAAUUCCAUGGGAUUGGUCGAUCUGAUUUUAACAUCAAGAUCAAGGUGUACGAAAAGACUCAGGACAGAGCAUGAAUCAGCUUGGUCGAGAAGGUAACACAAAAGCGCAUCAUGCAUUUGUACCUUUGUGCUUUACAGUCAGACUUCCAUAGGACCGACUCAUUGACAAUAACAUAUUCAUCUACGAUUCUCUAAUCCUCUAUUGGUUCUUUCCCGAGUGCGUGAUUGCCAGUGAACCUCCACCAUCUGGCGGCAUUCCAGACGCUGGCCAUGGACCUAGAGCUCAAGAAGAAGAUCCUCAACGAUCUCGACAGGUUCGUGAGGAGGGAGUACUAUACGAGAAUUGGCAAGGCAUGGAAAAGAGGGUACUUAUAGACCGACUGGGAAAGCAAGCCCGGUUGCCACAAUGGCCAAAUACUUGAACUUCGAUAUAUACAACCUAGAACUGAGCAGGCUCCACAGCAAUGCGGAGCUUAGGAGGCUGCUCGUCGACGCCACAAAUCAGUCCAUAUUGGUGGUCGAGGACGCUGAUUGCACCACUAAGUUGCAAGAUAGGUUGUCGGAAACACGAACCACCAGCAUGAAAACGCUGUCGAUGGGUUAUUAGCAACAAGAUUGAGCACAAUUUUUCCUUUUGGCUUUUCUUUUUUGGUAUGAGGUCUAGUUCAAUUGCUGCGUAGUAUGAAUAUGAUCCAUCCGCGAUGUUUAACUCAUGUUUGUACCUUCAAAAAAAAAAAAGAAAUUCCUAAUGGAAUGAUUAAGGUUGUCUAGAUUUCUCAACGUUGUCGAUGAGCUUUAGUCGAGCUAUGGUGAUAACGAAUUAUAGGCUUCACAACAAACCAUAUUGAGAAACUAGACCCAGCCCUAUUGCGCCUCGGGCACAUGGAUUUGCACGUUCCCAUGUCCUAUUACACCCUUAUGGGUUCAGGCUUUUGUUGCGAGUCAAUUGAUCUAAUAUUCCCUAACCCGUGCGGCAUUAGGUCUUUUUCCAAGUCAGCCUUACUCACACUCAACUCACAAAAAUCGUAUUAAAAGAAAAUUAUUAGUAUAUUUCACUUGUGAAUAAGAUGAUAUAAUUUAGGGAGAGGAGGUACCUAUUUAUGCAAGUAUGAAGCCAACCAUAGCCGUAUAUCUCUUCUUGGAUCUAACGGUGGGGUUUAAAUCACCCACAAUCAUCGCACUCAUUAUUUAGAUGUACACUUAUUGUAUUGCCCCUUUCCAAGGAGUAUUUUAGAACACCCUAGGACUUCCGGAAACUGGAGAGUCAUUUGUUCAUGGAUGGGUCACAACCCUUUACUUGGGAAACUUUUGGAGCGCAUCAAUUUCUUGGGUUGUGGCACUUCUCACUUCCAUUUAUCUCGGGAUCAAUCUCAUGAGCUCUUCAACCGGAUCGAGAGUGCGAGUACGACAUCUAAGGUCACUCCAGCCGAAGUUGCGAAGCAAUUGAUGAAAUGCGACAAACUAGAGGCCACUCUCGGGGACAUGGUUUCCUUCCUCACGAAUCACAAUAGGAAAGAAAAUGAAAAAGUGAUCAAGAAGAAAGUUCGUGGUCUCAAUUGAUUGUAGAAAUUGGAGGAAAUAAAGCAGCGAAGGUGAGCUAAUUGAAAAAUAAAUAAUACAUAUCAACUGUAAUGGUAUGUUUCCAUCGAUUUUAUCUAAAUUAUUAUAGAGUUCUUUGUAUUAAGCAUGAUAAUAUGACAACUAGACUCGUCAAACUAACAAGUCGAGUCAGACCCUAUUUGAAAACAAUCCAAUCCUAAAUGUAAAUUUGGGUACCCAUAUCCGACUUGGCUUGGUUUCUAUGUUUAGCAAUUUUUUCUUUAUGAAUUGUUGUCUUGAAGAAUAGGCGACUCCAUGGACUAGCUCGUCGAGUUACUGAGGGAGCUCGGGGUUCAGUUAUAGACAAGAGAAUUAAAGUGGCGGUGAAAGUCCAGCCUGGGCCUUGCAUAAGUCAUGAAAGAGUUUGGGCUUUAAACUCAUUUCCUGUUAUUUGUAAAAUCUUAAAUGAUCCACAUGCAACCUGGCCCAUAGAAUGUGAAUUGAAAGACGGGUUCACACCCCCCAUGUCUUGCUCCAAUGCAACUUAUCGGUUUGAAGUGGCGCAUCCGGCAGCUGACCAGUAAGAUUGUCUCCAAGUCAUGAGGAAGGAAUUACAUGUCUGAACAGCUGAUGAUCGGCUUAAACUUUUCUCUUCCUCAAGUCACGUAUCAGCUAAUCCGAAUAAACCCUUUAUAUACUAGCAAACGUUCCUGAAGAUUCCUGUGCAACUAAUAACAAAAUCAGAGGGGGUAAUUCACAUAGACAUUUCACCAGGCAUGUGGGCGACAACAUGCAUAUUUCCAACAGAAAAGAACCCAUCACUUAUUUGGUCGAGUCGUUUCAUCGCAAUGAUAGAGGACCAAGCAGAAAAAAUCGACUUUCCAAAUUGAGCUAAUUACUUGAGCAAGUCCUAGAAGGAAGAGAUAGAAGGGCUACAUGAAUGAUUUACACGAAGUGUGGUUUUAAUGAAAAUUAUGAGUCCGAGUAGAAUGAAAAUAUCAAAAUAAAUGUGGUGAAAAAUGGCGCUCGACAAGUCUUACCUUUGUCGAUCCUUAGAACCUGCCUAAAUAAAUGAAGAAAAUAAUGACUAGGACUAAAAACACUCAAGUUAAAUUGUUUUUUUUUUUUUUUUUGUGACCGAGGAUCUGCUGGAGCAUGCCCUUGUUGGCUUACACCAAUUCGGGGUCUCACGGGCCUCCGUAGUGGAAGCCCAAUAGCGACUAUACCUCGAGGGAAGUUGGUCCAACAACCCCCGACUUAAAUCGCUAGUAACGCGAGGAUUCAAACUCUCAAUCGUAUCGAAGCAUGGGAGAACGAAUACCAACACGAACACUCAAGUUAAAUCGUUCAACAUUAAUAAAUUGAACAAAAUUUUUGACUCCCUUUUCAAAGAUGGCCUAAUUAAAUUAAUUGAAGGCUGUGUAAUUCCAAAUAAAGAAGAUUUAGAAAACAAAAGAAUAUUGCAAGUGGCACCAUUUAUGGAGCGAUAACACAAUUAACCGUGUUGUUUUUAAGAGAACAAUUUAGUAGAGAAAAAUUAAAUUUGCCAAAUGAUUGAUAACCAUUGAUUAUUUAAUUUUAAAAAUCGAAUGGUUGAUGAAUCAUUUAAUUCUUUUAAUAUGUUGACAUAAAAAAAAAAAAAAAACCAAACUUGUGGUUGUUAUUGAUAAUUGGCAAACUCAAUCGAUGAAGACCCUUAAUCAGAACAAUCAAUAAAGAUAACUCGCUAGUGAAGUCAUUGACCACAUACAACAUGAACUUAUUGACGAGAGCCUUCAUCAAGACUUGAGAAAUGGAUCGACAAAGUUAUCAACAACGAGCAAUUAACAUAAAAAUACAAUUGUUGGUUGAUUAUAUCUAUUGCCACUAACUAGGAUUUUUGUUCCUUGCAGGUAAGUGUUACCAAAUAAAUUCUUGCCAAUAAGUGUUGCACGGAGUAACUUCUCAUAAUCGCUAAUCGGAUUAAAUAGUUACUUCUUUAUUUAAAUUAUAAAACUGUUGGUUUUAACCAUUGGUGGUGAGUUAUAAAUAUCCAUAUCGUACUCUUGUAAGAGAUCCCCAUCAAUCAAUCAAUGAAUUCGAGUUCUUCUGCAUAUUUAUCUACCUUUAUUUUUCUGUAAUUUAUAUGAUCGGCUGCAAUUGCCUCUAAUUUCCAUAACUCUAAAUACAUUGUCAUUUUACUUUCCAGUCCAAAAUCAACGAAAGACCUUUCACAACCUUUAUCGAUUCACUUAUUCGACACAUUUUGAUGAAGCUUAAUCUAAUUAACAAGCAAUGAGGACGAUGAGUUCAUCACUUGGGUUACAACCAGGGAUACAACACUUGUGGUUGGUUAUAAGACCUGAGUGAAGCUCAGCUGCUACAACAGUUUUAAAGUUGCCCUAACUCACCCUAGACGUGGAGAGUUAUUAUACUCCCUUAUCCGAUAAUAAUCAAUACCGAAAUAUUGACAUCGUGUCUACCUUUAUUACCGUCAUGUCCUCAAUUCCUACUUUUAUUUUUCUUCCCUAGUAAGAAGGAAUACGGGAGGUGAUAACUGUGGGGCCCUCCAUCCCAAGACUUAUCUCUCAGCUGUUCGUCUCUUUUGAGCCUUUUAGGACCAUUUAGGUCCAAUCAGAGGAAAUUUAUUUCAAACUUAAUUAUUUGGGGUUGCCUAGAACACGACAGGCUUUUGCAAAAGCAGAGAAAAUGGUCCAACCGAAACUAGUCGUAUUCAUAUCGGUGCAGCGUAAGUCAAGGAGGAAUCGUUGAAUAAAAUAUUUCAAGGUGCAAGUGAUUGGUAAAAUGGAUACCACGUGAGGACCCCCCUAACUUUUCUUGUCAAUAAAAAUUCAACUUUAAACACUCUAGCCAAUCAGUAAACAAGUUUACACACUACCUAAUUAAAUUAAAAUAGAAAUGGAAUGUGCCGUGGACAAGUGGUCUUCGCCUUCUCAUUUUGAUCUGCCGUUCUCAUAUUCAUCGCCAAUUUCAUCUCCCGAUUUCUGCCGGUCGAGUGCCGCCUGUACCAAAUAGAUCGGACCGGAAAAAGAAUGGCAACCCCAGCUCCGGACGACUUCGGGAACCACAUCGUGGUGGCCAAGGCGGCGCUAUCUGCCACAGCAUCCGUGACGGCCACCAUGAUGGUCGUGCGGUCAGUGGUUCAGCCAUUCCUCCCCCGUGAACUCCGGGGCUUCCUCUUCUCUGGGAUCCGUGGCUUCCUGUCUCGCUUCUCCAACGAAAUGACCAUGGUCAUUGACGAGUACGAUGGGAUCAACCCGAACGAGCUCUUCCAGGCGGCCCAAAUGUUCUUGCCUGCCAAGCAAUUCCCUUCAAUGGUGGUGCGGUCGGUGGUUCGACCCUUCAUCCCCCGCGAAUUCCAGGACUUCCUCUUUGACUUCCUCAUUUCCAGGAUCCGCGGCUUCUCGUCUCGCUUCUGCAACGAAAUGACUAUGGUCAUCGAACGGCACGACGGGUACGCCCAAAACGAGCUCUUUGGGGCGGCCCAGGUUUUCCUGGCCGCCAAGCAAUCCGUUUCCGUACGGCGCGUGCGAGUGACCAAGUCCACGAAGGAGACCCACUCCACUGCGGCUAUUAUUGACCAGAAUCAAAUGCUCGUGGAUACGUUUCACGGGGUCAAAUUGAAGUGGGCUUUGGUGUCAAGACAAGUCGGCUCGGGCAACCGAGUUCAUCAAGGCCCAAACUCAACGGUUCAACACGGAGAUCAGUACUUUGAGCUCACUUUUGACAAGAAACAUGUGGAGAUCGUGGACAAAUCCUAUCUGCCUUUCGUCAUGGACCAGGCCAAGUCCAUAAAGCAGGGGAAGAAGACGUUGAAACUUUACACUGCAAGCUCUAACAGUAAUUUUUUGUAGAACGUUUUGUUGGAAUCAUCGGAGUUAUCUUUAAAUAUAUUCAAUUCUACCAUUAGAAGUGGAAAGGGAGUGAUAUUAAGGUUCCCUAACUUCCACGAAAAUGUUUUCCGGGUUUUCCAACUCUCUAUUCGUGAAAAAUAAACUAAUUAAGGAAAACAUUUUCUGCUAUUGAAAAAAAAAUUUCAAAAGUGGGUAAAAUUUUUUCUACUUUCCUGUAACUUUUUUCACCAUACUUUCUUUCACCAAUCACAUUUUCCUUAUAUUUUUAUGCUUUCUUUUUUCUUCUUUUAAAAAUUUGAUUUUUUCAUUUUUUUUUUCCUUUUCUUUUUCUUCCUCCUUGGUUAGUCGCCGGCCACAAGCAACUUGAGUCUCGUCACAAGCUGUUAAGGCCAGCGAUGCCUUGAGCCCAACUUGCCUCAAGCAAGCUCUAGCUUGUUAACCUUGGUGAAGCUCGAGCUCACUUGGAUCAGCAUAGCCUCAAGCUCCUGACUCGCGUCUUGGUCGGUUGUCGAGGAGCCAACCAUUGUUGAGGCACGCAGCGGCGGAGGAAGGAGGAGAAAGAAGGAAGAAGAAGGAAGAAGGAGGAAGGAAAAGAAAAAUAAAGAAAAAUAAAUAAAUAAAAAUUUAAUUUUUAAAAAUAUAUAAAAACUAAAAUUAAUUGUUUUGGUCAAUUAAAAAAUAAAAAUUUAUUCUUUUCGUAAUUUCUUAGAAAAACAAAUUAGAUACCGAAUGGUGAAAAAUAUUUUUCAAUUAAUUUUUAGAUUUCUAUCGAAAACAAGAAAAUAUCGUUAUUUUCUUGUAAAAUGCUUUUUUAAAAAUAUUUUUCGAAAACAUGAUAUUUUUAAGCGGAGUCUAGAUUCAUAAAAAAACUUUUCAGCUCAAUCAAACUAGUUAGAAGUCCAGCCCAAAAAUAACUACUUGUUACAGAAAAGUUCAUAAGUAAAAUCCUAAAGACCAUUAAGGUCAAAAUUCACUAGAACAAGUCUUGCACCUUCUUAUAUAUUAUUCUGCCCUCAAUUUCUUCAACAGAAAAUUGAAUUUUGUAUCUCCAUCUUUGUUUCCUCUUUAGGUUCAUUCUCGGGCCCAUGGUCCUCGGUGAACCUCGACCACCCGGCGACGUUCCAGACAUUGGCCAUGGACCUAGAGCUCAAGAAGAAGAUCCUCGACGACCUCGACAUGAGAGUUGGCAAGGUGUGGAAAAGAGGGUACCUAUUGUACGAACCCCCUGGAACAGGAAAAUCAAGCUUGGUCGCUGCGAUGGCCAAUCACUUGAACUUCGACAUAUACGACCUAGAACUGAGUGGGCUUCGGAGCAAUGCGGACCUCAGGAGAUUGCUCGUCGCCACUGCGAAUCAGUCCAUAUUGGUGGUCGAGGACAUCGAUUGCACCAUUCAGUUGCAAGAUAGGAAUCCAAGAACACGAGCCGCCAGCAUGAAUCCAAUGUUGAUGUGUUAUCAACAACAAGAUUAAGUACAAAUUCUUCUUUUUUGCUUUCUUUUUUAAUAUGAGGUCUAGUUCAAUCUGCGUACUAUGAAUAUGAUUUGUCCUUGAUGUUUAAUUCAUGUUUGUACCUACAACAAUAUUUUUUUUCCCUAAUGAAAUAGGUGACGUUGUCCGGAUUUCUCAACUUCACCGAUGGGCUUUGGUCAAGCUGCGGCAAUGAGCGAAUCAUAGUCUUCACGACAAACCAUGUUGAGAAACUAGACCCGGCCAUAUUGCGCCCAGGGCGCAUGGAUUUGCACAUUCCCAUGUCCUAUUGCACCCCUUGUGGGUUCAGGCUUCUAGCUUAUAAUUAUCUCGGGAUCGAUCAUCAUGAGCUUUUCAACCAAAUUGAGAGCAUGAUCACGAUGGCUAGAGUCACUCCAACUGAAGUAGCGGAGGAGUUGAUGAAGUGCGAUGAAUCGGAGAUCGUCCUCAGGGACAUGGUUUCCUUCCUCACCAAUCACAAGAGGAAAGAAAAUGAAGAAGCCAUCUAGGAGAAAGUUUGUCGCUCUCAAUUGAUCGUAGAAAUUGGAGGGAGUGAAGAAGAAAGCAGCAAGGGCGAGCUGAUUGAAAAAUAAAUAAUACAUGUCGACUGCAAUGGUAUGUUUCCACCGAUGUUAUUUAGAUUAUUAUAGAGUUCUUUGUAUUAAGCAUGAUGAUGUAUGACAACUAACCCCGUCAUACUGAUGGGUUGGGACAGGUCAGGUCGGGUAAAAAAUAGUCGGGCCUUAAAAUGCAAAUUUGGCAACCCAUGUUUGACAUGAUUCAAGAUCUACUUUUAGCAAUUUUUUCUUUUAAAAAUUGUGGUCUUUGGAGAAUAGGCGGCUCCAUGGAUUGACUUGUCGAGUUGGUGAGGGAGCUUGGGGUUCGGUUAUAGACAGAAGCGUUAAAGUGGUGGUGAAAGUCCGGUCCGGGCCAUCCAUAAAUUGUUCGGUCUCUAAACUCUUUUCACUUAUUUGUAGAAUUUUAAAUGACCCGGAUGCAACCUGGCCCAUAGAAAGUAAACUGAAAAAUGGGUUCAGACCCUUAUGUCUUGGCAGCUGACCAGAAAGAUUUUCACUAAGUCGUGAAGAAGGAAUUACAUAUCUCAACAGCUGAUGAUCGGCUUAAACUUUUAUCUUUAUCGUGCUCACGACAAGUGUAAGCUAAUCGGAAUAAACCCUUUACAUACUACCUGUAAUUCAACUGGCCGAACUAUUAUACUAGUCACCGUUGGUUGCUGAAGAUUCCUACGCAACUAAUAGGAAAAUCAGAAGGGGAAAUUCACAUGGAAAUUUCAUCGAGCAUGUGGGCGACAACAUGCAUAUUUCCAAUAGAGAAGAACCCAUAUACUCAUUCGGUAGUCAUUUCGUCGCAAUGAUAGAAGACCAAGCAGCAAAAAUCGACUUUCGGAAUUGAACUAAUUACUCGAGCAACUUUUAGAAUAAAGGCAUAAAAGAGCCAUAUGAUUGCUUUACACAAAACGUGAUUUUAAUGUAAAUUAUGAGUUGGAAUAUGAGUAUGACCCAGAUAAAAACAUUGAAAUAAAUAUGGCAAAAUUGGUUUUCGACAAGUCUCUGUCUUUAAACCCUGCCAAAAUAAAAGAAAAAAUAAUGACUAGUGCUAAACACACUCAAGUUAAAUCGUUCAACAUUAAUAAAUUGACUUCCUUUUGAAAGAUGGCCUAAUUAAAUUAACCAAAGACCGUGUAAUUCCAAACAAAGAAGAUUUAGUAAACACAAAAAUAUUGCAAGUGGCACGAUUUAUGGAGCCAUAACACUGUUAAUUGUGUUGUUUUCAAGAGUUCAAUUUAGCAAGGAAAAGUCAAAUUUGCCAAAUGAUUGGUGACCUUUAAUUAUUUAAUUAAAAAAGUCUAACGGUUGAUGAAUCAUUCAAUUCUUUAAAAAAGGGAAUAUGUCGACAUAAAAAAAAAGAAAAGAAACUGAUCAAACUUUUGGUUAUUAUUGACAAAUGGCAAACUUAGUUGAUGAGGAUACUUUAUCAAAAAAAUCAACAAACUUGAAGAAUAGGUAACUCGCUAGUGGAAUCAUUAACCAUACACAACGGGAUAAGUACACUAAUGGUGCCAUAAGUUGUGUAUGGCGCUCACUUUAGUGCCAAAAGUUUCUAUCGGAUCAUUUAAGUGUCAAAAAAUUUGAAAAAUGCUCACUUUGGUGCCAAUGCCGAUCUGAUCGGCCGAAAAUCUGACGUGACCUUUUUUUUAUUAAUUUCUUAUGCUGAUGUGGCUCGCCAGAGUUUCCAUUGGAUCACUUAGGCCUUCAAACGAUGUUGUUUUGGCAUCCUAACACCAAAACGACGCCGUUUUGUGUCUUUCCCCCAAAUUCAAAACCCUAAAUCCCCAAAUGACGCCGUUUUGUGUCGUCUUCUUCCUUGAACAGAUCCAGCAACACCAACAGCGCCGAACUAGCAACACUAGUAGCGCAGAACCGUUUUGUGUCGUCUUCUUCCUUGAACAGAUCCAGCAACACUAACAGCGCCGAACUAGCAACACUAGUAGCGCAGAACCGGCAACACCAGUAAUUUUCCAGAAAAGAAACCACGCAUUCGCCUCCGCCCUCCCCCAGUAGUUUUCCCCAUUUUCAAUCACCUUAUCAACCUUUCAAAUCCCCAAAUCUCAGCCCCACCACCGCCUUUUCUCAAGGAAUAUCGUUGGGUGCAGAGGAAACGCGAGCUUGAAGAAUCUCCAGAAGCACAGGCGAUCUGGCCAAUGGUAGCUGCGAAGAUCUGGAACGCCACGGAGGUUGUCAACGAAGUCAAUUGCUACGAAGGCGGCGGCCGUGGCCCCACCAUCCCCUCCUUCGCCCUCAUUGUCAACACCUCCCUCUCUCUUGGGAUUUUCUGUUCGUUUUUUUUUUCUUUUGUCUUGCUAUGGCAAGCAACUACGAUGGAGGUCGAGGGAUGGCGGCUGAGUGACGGUGGCCGAGGGACGACAUCAAAGUGAUGGUGGACGAGGGACGGCGGUUGAGCGACGGCGGAUGAGCAAUGGCAGACAAAAAAACCCUAAUUUCAAUCUCCAAAUAAAAUAAAAUAAAAAACGGCGUCAUUUUUGUGAGGUUAUCCACGUAGGAUGGCAAAACGACGUCGUUUUCUUAAGGAAGACGGAAAACGACGUCGUUUAAAAGGCUUCUCGAUUUUUUUUUUUAAAUAUAAAAGCCACGUAAUCAUUUUGGCCGGAAUCUGUCGUCGGUGGCACCAAAGUGAUUGUUUUUCCUCCGAUUUGGCACUUAAGUGAUCUGGCGGACUUUUGGCACCAAAGUGAGCGCCGUACACAACUUAUGUCACAAUUAGUGUACUUAUCUCCAUACACAACAUGAAAGUUAUCGACAAGAGCUUUCAUCAAGACUUGAGAAAUUGAUUUCCUAGUUCCAGGGCUUCCUCUUCUCCAAGAUCCAUGGCUUCUUGUCUCGCUUCUGCAACGAAAUGACCAUGGUCAUCGAACAGUACGAUGGGUACAACAAAACGACCUCUUCGGGACGACUCCGAUUCUCCUGGCCACCAAGCAAUCCCUUUCGAUGCAGCGCGUGCGACUGACCAAGUCCCCGAAGGAGAACCACUUCACUCUGGCUAUGGACCGGAAUCAAAUGCUGGUGGAUACGUUUCACGGGGUCAAACUCAAGUGGGUUUUCUGUCGAGACAGGUCGACUUGGGCCACCAAGUCCAUCAAGGCUCCACGGUUCUGCACGAAGUUCAGCACUUCGAGCUUAGUUUUCACAAGAAACACAGGGAGAUCGUGGUCAAAUCCUAUGUGUCUUUCCUCAUCGACAAGGCCAAGUCCAUAAAGCAGGGGAAGAAGACGCUGAAGCUAUGCACUCCGGGCUCCGACGGCAAUUAUCUUUAACUAUGUUCAAUUCUACUAUUAGAAUUUAGGAGUGAAAAGCUGUGAUGCUAAAUUCACAAAAACUUCGUUCAAUCGGACUAAGUCGGAAGUACCAUAUAAAGUCCAGCCAAAAAUAAGUACUAGCUACAUAAAAGUUAAUCAGUAAAAUCCUAAAGCACAUUAAGAUCAAAAUUCACUCGAACCAGCUCGCACCUUCUUGGUCGAGUUGUGGCGAUGAGUGGAUCAUAGAUUUCACGACGAGCCACAUUGAGAAAUUAGACCCAGCCCUCUUGUGCCCAGGGUGCAUGGACUUGCAUGUUCCUAUGUACUAUUGCACCGCUUGUAGGUUUAGGCUUCUUGCUUCUAAUUAUUUUGGGAUUGAUCACCAUGAGCUGUUUGACCAGAUCGAGAGUGCGAUCACAACAGCGACAGUCACUUUGGCCGAAGUAGUAGAGCAGUUGAUGAAGAGCGACUUGAAGACAUGGUUUACUUCCUUGCAAAUCACAAGAGGAAAGAAAAUGAAGAAGUCAAUGAGGAGAAAGUUUGUCGGUUCCAAUUGGUUGAAGAGAACGGAGGGGGUGAAGAAGAAAGUGGUGAGUGCGAACUAAUUGAAGAAUAAACAACAAACACCGACUAUGUUGGUACUUUCCAUCGAUUUUAACUUAAGAGUGUUAAAAAAAUCUCGAUUAUUAUGGAUUCAAUCACAAAAGUGAUUGAUGGAAAGCUAUUGUAUCCUCAUCCAAAUUAUUAAUAAUUUGAGUCAAAUGAUAAAAUCACGUGAUCAAACAGAAUAAAUUAACUCGGUUUAUAUGAUCUACAAGCUAUGUGAUAUUUUUUAAUGAUUGAUAUUCAUAUCAUGCCGACGGCUUCUUGUAGUUACCGCGGCAACAACACAUAAUCGGACACUAAUGAUGGUCUCAUGUUUUGGGCCUUCCUUGAAAUAUUGAAUUUGCUUGGGUCGGCUGAAAAACAUUCAUUACUUAUCCGAUUUCUAGACCAACCAUUGGGGUCAAGGUCAUUUCGGUCUUUUUUUCUCUAUGGGGCAAGAUAGAAAAUUUCCUUUUUCUCUUUUUCUAUUAAUAUUAAAGAAGGUUUGGACUUAUUGGAGCAUUCAACUAAUUGUUAUUGAUAUGAUAAUCAUCCAUGCAGGGGAUUAGCAAAAGCAAACCAAGGACAAAAGGCAUAGUACAGGGCAAGUUAAGGACAUAUACGAGAAAAAUAUAUUGCAAGUUUUAAAACUUAUUACAAAAGUGCAAUUGAGUCUUGAAAUUUUUAAAAAGUGCAAUUAAAUCAUAAAAUUUAUGGAAUUGGUGCAAUCAAAUCAUUCCACUACGGAAAAUGCUGACUUCCCUCUUACAUGGCGAUAACGUAGUUAAAAUGACGUUAUUUUGGUUCAAAUUUGUUUUUAGAUACAAAUUGUAUUUAAAUUAAAUUAAAAAUUAAGAAAUUUAAAAAAAAAUAAAAGCAGAAAGGGCGAGCGAGGGUUUGCAACCCUUGGGGCUGGUGCCCUUGCCGACCAUUCCCCAUCCCGGUGAUUUAGGAUGGUAGCGACGAAAAGGGUUGCAAACCAUUGCCCCCCUCUCCCUCCUUUGUUUUUCCCCAAAGUUUUCUUAUUUUUAAUAUAAUUAAUAUUAAAUUAAUAUUAAAAAAUUGAAUUUGGACUAACAUGACGUGGCUUUAGUCAUGAUGGUACCACGGAGAAAAAAGAAAAUAAUAAAAAGAACCACAUCAUUGUUUUUCAUGACUCAAAUGAGAUGGAGUUAAUAUAAUGACAUGAUUGCACCACAUUGAUAAGUUUUAUGAAUUAAUAGUAUUUUUUAAAAAUUUAAAAAUUUAAUUAUAUAUUUUUUAAUAAGUUUUAAGAUUUUUAUUGUAUCUAAUGAUCGAUCAUUCUAAAUAUAACUGAUUUAUUAGGAAUGUGAUCUUAAAAUAGUGCGCGCGAAUCAAUAAAUGAGUUUAUACUAUCUAAUUAAAUUAAAUUGAAGUGGAACGUGCGUGGUUUUGCCUUUACCUCGAGAUGCAAUCAUUGAAUUGGAUAAUUAGAUGGGAUUGGUCGAUCCGAUUGUAACGUCAAAAGCAAAGGGUACGAAGACCUGGACAAAGAACAGUGCAUGAAUCAGCUUAGUCGAGUAGGUAACACAAAAAGCAUCAGGCGUGGUUUUGUGACUUUUGUCCCUUUGUGCUUUCCAGCUGGGUAUUCCAGUGGGGAUGUCGCUAGCCCUCCCUUUUAAAUCCAAGACCGACGCUCGUUGACAGUAACAUAUCCAUCUCCAAUUCUCCCACACCAUCUUAAUACCAAACAGAGUAAACCGAAAAGAAUGGCGACCACGCCGGCUCCGGACGACUUCAGGAACCCCGUCACGGUGGCCAAGGCCGUGCUGUCUGCUGCGACCUCCGUGACGGCCACCUUGAUGGUGGUGCGGUCGGUGGUUCGACCGUUCGUCCCCCGCGAAUUCCAGGACUUCCUCUCCUCUGGGAUCCGCAGCUUCUUGCUUCGCCUCCGCAACGAAAUGACCAUGGUCAUUGAACCGUACGAUGGGUACGCCCAAAACGAGCUCUUCGAGGCGGCCCAGGUUUUCCUGGCUGCCAAGCAAUCCGUUUCGGUACGGCGCGUGCGAGUGACCAAGUCCACGAAGGAGAGCCACUCCACUCUAGCUAUUAUUGACCGGAAUCAAAUGCUGGCGGAUACGUUUCACGGGGUCAAAUUGAAGUGGGUUUUGGUGUCGAGACAAGCCGGCUCGGGCAACCCAGUUCAUCAAGGCCGGAAAUCAGCGGCUGAACACGGGGAGCAAUACUUCGAGCUCACUUUUGACAAGAAACACAUGGAGAUCGUAGACAAAUCCUAUCUGCCUUUUGUCAUGGACGAGGCCAAGUCCAUAAAGCGGGAGAAGAAGACGUUGAAGCUAUACACUUCGAAAUGCAUCGGUAAUUUUUGCAGAACAUUAUGUUGGAAUCAUCGGAGUUAUCUUUAAAUAUGUUCUGUACUACUAUUAGAAGUGGAAUAAGAGUGAUACUAAGGUUUUCAUUUCACAAAAAAUAAUUUCCACAAUUUUUUUUUUUUGCAAAUUUUUCGAUGUUUGAUUCGUGAAAAAUAAACUAGUUAAGAAAAACAUUUUAUGCUAUUGAAAAAAAAAAGACCUUUAAGGGUAGGGAAAUUUUUUUGAAUAUUUUAGAAGAAGGAAAAUAUUUUCCAUAACUUCUUUUACCUUACUUUCUUUCAUCAAAUGCAUUUUCCUUUUAUUUUUAUGUUUUUCUUUUAAAAAUCGAGUUUUUAAUUUUUUAUUAUUUUUCCUUUUCUUUUUCUUCUUCCUUUGUUGGUUGCCAGCCACAAGCUAGUUUGAGCCUCACCACAGGGCGACAAGGUUUGAGCUCGUCAAAUAUUGACCAAGUUUGAGCUUGCCAACUUGUGGUGAGGCAAUCUGGCCAAUUGGAGCUCGCUCGAGGCCAGAUUCGGUGAGCCCCAAGCUCGCCUAGAUUUGGCGAGCCAUGAAUCCUCGUGGAGCUCGGGCUCGCCUGGAUCAACCAAGCCUCGAGGUCUCCAACUUGCGUCUUGGCUAGUUGCCAAGUAGCUUGCCAUUGCCAAGGUACAUGCCAGCGGAGGAAGGAGGAAUGAAAAGAAAAUGAAAAAAAAAUUCUAUUUAAAAAAAAAAAAAUCAUUUUUUUAAAAAGUAAAAAGAUUAACAUUAAUUUUUUUGGUCAAUUAAAAAAAUAAAAUUUGAUUUUUGUGGUAAUUUUUUUUUAUAGAAAAUCAAAUGAGAUACCGAAUGGUAAAAAAAAAUUUUCACUUCAUUUUCAAGUUUUAAUAGAAUACCAAAAACUAUUGUCAUUUUCUUGGAAAUUAACUUUUUGAAAAAUGUUUUUUAAAAACAUGAUAAUUUUUGGAAAACAAACAGAACCUAAAUACACAAAAAAAAAAAAAACAUUUCAGCUCAAUUGGACUAGGCAAAAGUAUCAUAUAACUUAAAGUCCUGCCCAAAAAUAACUACUUGCUACAAAAAAAAUUCUUUAAGUGAAAUGCUAAAGAACAUUAAGGUCAAAAUCUACUGUGAUUCUGCCCUCAAUUUCUUCAGCGGAAGACUGAAUUUUGUAUCUCCAUCACAAUUUGUUUCCUCUAAAGGUCUGGGCCCGGGCACGUGGUCCUCGGUGAACCUCGACCACCCAGCGACAUUCCAGACAUUGGCCAUGGACCUAGAGCUCAAGAAGAAGAUCCUUGACGAUCUCGAUAGGUUCGUGAGGAGGAAGGAGUACUACAGGAGAGUUGGCAAGGCGUAGAAAAGAGGAUACUUAUUGUACGGACCCCCUGGAACGGGGAAAUCGAGCUUGGUCGCCGCGAUGGCCAAUUACUUGAACUUCGACAUAUACGAUCUAGAACUGAGCGGGCUCCACAGCAAUGAAGAGCUGAGGAGGCUCCUCGUUGCCACCAAGGAUCAAUCCAUAUUGGUGGUUGAGGACAUUGAUUGCACCAUUCAAUUGCAAGAUAGGAAGUUGGAAACACAAGCCGCCUACAUGAAUCGGAUGCCGAUGGGUUAUCAGCAAAAAGAUCGAGUACCGCUUUUUCUUUUUGCUUUCUCUUUUAGUAUAAAGUCUAGUUCAAUUGUUGCAUACCAUGAAUAUGAUUUGUCCUUGACAUUUAACUCCUAUUUGUCAUACAACGUUAAUUUUCUUCUCAUGGAAUAGGUGACGUUGUCCGGAUUCCUCAACUUCAUAGACGGGCUUUGGUCGAGUUGUGGCAAUGAGCGGAUCAUUGUUUUUACAACGAACCACAUUGAGAAAUUAGACCCAGCCCUAUUGCGCCCGGGGCGCAUGGACUUGCACGUUCCCAUGUCAUAUUGCACCUCUUUUGGAUUUAAGCUUCUUGCUUCUAAUUAUCUUGGGAUCGAUCACCACGAGCUCUUCGACCAAAUUGAGAGUGCAAUCACAACGGCUAGAGUCACUCCGGCCGAAGUAGCGGAGCAGUUGAUGGGGUGCGAUGAACCAGAGGUCGCUCUUAGAGACAUGAUUUUGUUCCUUGUUAAUCACAAAAGGAAAGAAAAUGAAGAAGUCAUUGAGGAGAAAGCUGGUCAGUCCCAAUUGAUUGAAGCGAAUGGAGGGGGUGAAGAAUUUGAAGAAUAAACAAUAAAUAUCGACUGUGUUGAUAUGUUUCCAUCGAUUUUAACUUAGAUUAUUAUAAAGAUCUCGAUUAUUAUGGAUUCAAUCAUUUGUGAUUGAUGGAAAGCUAUUGUAUCAUCAUCCGAAUUAUUAAUAAUCUAAGUCAAAUGAUAAAAUCACAUGAUCAAAUAGACUAAAUGAACUUAGUUUAUAUAAUAUAUGAGCCAUGUGAUAUUGUCUAGUGAUUGAUAUUCAUAUCAUGCCGACGGUAUAAUUUUCUUCAUGUAGUUAUCGCGUCAAGGACACAUAAUCAGACACUAAUGAUAAUCUCAUGUUUUGGGCCUUUCAUGAAAUAUUGAAUUUGCUUGGGCUCAUUACCUACCCGAUUUAAACCAACCAAUGGGGUCAAGGUCAUUACGGUCUUUUUAUUCACUAUGGGCGAGAUAGUAAUUUUCUUUUUCUCUUUUUCUUUUAAUAUUAAAGAGGGUCCAGACUUAUUUGAGUAUUCAACUAAUUCUCAUUCGAUACGAUAAUCGUCCAUGCAGGGAAUUAGCAAAAGCAGAUGAGGGACAAAAGGUUCCAAUUAGCGCUGGUUAUUCAUAUCGUGCAGGGGGAGUUAAGGAGAGAUAGUAAAAUAAAUCAUGGAAUAAGUGUACUAGAAGUCCUCAAACAUGUUAUGAAAGUAUAAUCUAGUUUUGAAACUUAUAGAAAGUGUAAUGAAAUCCUAAAAUUUAUUAAAUUAGUGCGAUGGAAUCACUUCAAUAUUGCCGUCUAAUUUGAAUAACGGAAAAUGCUGACUUUCCUCUUCCGUGGCAAUAAUGUUGCUAAAAUGACAUUAUUUUAGUUCAAAUUUGAUUUUAAAUACAAAUUAUAUUUAAAUUAAAUUUUAAAUUAAGAAAAUGUUUAAAAAAAUAAGAGUAGAAAGGGCAAGUGAGGAUUUGCAACCAACGGGGCAGCAACUCUUGCCGACCAUUCCCCAUCCUGGUGAUGUAGGACAGUGGCUACAAAAGGGGCUACAAACCCUUGCCUGCCUCUUCCUCUCUUUUUUUCCCCCCCAAGUUUUCUUAUUUUUAAUAAAAUUCAUAUUAAAAAAAAUGAACUUGGACUAACAUAACAUUGUUUUAGCAACGAGAGUGCCACCUAGGAAAUAGAAAGUAAUAAAAAAAAGUCACAUCACCAUUUUUUAUUAAUUAAGUUAGAUAGAGUUAAGAAAAAUAAUUUGAUACAUUUUAUGAUUUAAUAGCACUUUUCAAAAGUUUUAUAAUUCAAUUACACUUUCAUAAUAAAUUUUAAUAUUUAUAAUGUACCUAUCCCAUAAAUCAUUCUAAAUGAACCUAUUUAUUGGAAAUUUGAUCUUUAAAAUAGUCCACGUGAGUCAAUAAACGGGUUUAUACUAUCUAAUUAAACUGAAUUGAAGUGGGACGUGCGGGGUGUUGCCUUGCCUCGAGAUGCAGCCAUUGAAUUAGAUGAUUGGAUGGGAGGUCGAUCUGCUUGUAAUGUCAAAAUCAAAGGGUACGAAGACCUGGACUAAGAACAGUGCAUGAAUCAGCUUAGUCGAGAAGGGCGUGGUUUUGCAACUUUGUGCUUUCCAGCUGGGACUUCCCGUGAGGAUGUCGCUGGCUCUUCCUUUUAGAUCCAAGACCGACUCUCGUUGACGGUAACAUAUCCACUUCCAAUUCUCCAAUUCUCAUAUACCAUCUUAAUACCAAACAGAGUAGACUGAAAAGAAUGGCGACCCCAACUUCGAACGACUUCAGGAACCCCCUCGCGGUGGCCAAGGCGGUGCUGUCUGCUGCGACCUCCGUGACGGCCACCUUGAUGGUGAUGCGGCCGGUGGUUCGACCGUUUACCUCCCAUGAAGUCGAGUACUUCCUCUUCUCCAGGUUCCGCGGCUUCUUGUCUCGCUUCUGCAACAAAAUGACAAUGGUCAUCAAACCGUAUGAAGCGGACGCCCAAAACGAGCUCUUCGGGGCGGCCCAGGUUUUCCUGGCGGCCAAGCAAUCCGUUUCCAUACGGCGCGUGCGAGUGACCAAGUCCACAAAGGAGAACCACUCCACUCUGGCUAUUGUUGACCGCAAUCAAAUGCUGGUGGAUACGUUUCAUGGGGUCAAACUAGUGGGUUUUCGUGUCGAGACAAGUUGGCUCGGGCAACCGAGUUCAUCAAGGCCAUGACUCAGCGGCUCCACGCGAAGAUCAGUACUUCGAGCUCACUUUUGACAAGAAACACAUGGAGAUCGUGGACAAAUCAUAUCUGCCUUUCGUCAUGGACGAGGCCAGGUCCAUAAAGCAGGGGAAGAAGACGUUGAAGCUAUACACUCCGUGCUCCGACGGUAAUUAUCUUUAAAUAUGUUCAAUUCUACCAUUAGAAGUGGAAAAGGAGUGAUACUAAAUUCACAAAAAACUUUUCAGCUCAAUCAGACUAGUCAGAAGUAUCACAUAAAUUGUAAACAUACAAUUUAAAAAGUACAGCCAAAAAUAACUACUUGCUACAGAAAAGUCCAUAAGUAAAAUCCUAAAGAACAUUAAAGUCAAAAUUCACUAGAACCAGUCUUGCACCUUCUUAUAAAUGAUUCUGCCGACAAUUUCUUCAACAGAAAACUGAAUUAUGUAUGUCCAUCUUUGUUUCCUCCACAGAUCCAUUCCUGAGCCCAUGGUCGCCGGUGAACCUUGACCACCCAGCGACGUUCCAGACACUGGCCAUGGACCUAGAGCUCAAGAAUAAAAUCAUCGAUGAUCGAGACAGGUUUGUGAGGAGGAAGGAGUACUACAGGAGAGUUGGCAAGGCGUGAAAAAGAGGGUACUUAUUGUACAGACCCCCUAGAAUGGGGAAAUCGAGCUUGGUCGCCGCGAUGGCCAAUUACUUAAACUUCGACAUAUACGACCUAGAAUUGAGUGAGCUCUGGCGCAAUGCGGACCUCAGGAGAUUGCUCGUCGCCACAGCGAAUCAAUCCAUAUUGGUGGUCGAGGACAACGAUUACACCAUUCAUUUGCAAGAUAGGAAUUCAGAAACACGCGCCGCCAGCAUAAAUUCGAUGUUAAUCGGUUAUCAGCGAAAAUAUUAAGUACAAUUUCUUCUUUUUUGCUUUCUUUUUAAGUAUGAGGUGUAGUUCAAUUGCUGCAUACUAUGAAUACGAUUUGUUCUUGACGUUUAACUCAUGUUUGUACCUACGACAAUAAUUUUUUUUACUGAUGGAAUAGGUGAUGUUGUCUGGAUUUCUCAACUUCAUCGAUGAGCUUUGGUCAAGCUACGGCAAUAAGCGAAUCAUAGUCUUCACGACAAACCACAUUGAGAAACUAGACCUAACCCUAUUGCGCCCAGGGUGCAUGGAUUUGCAUGUUCCCAUUUCCUAUCGCACCCCUUGCGGGUUCAAGCUUCUUGCUUCUAAUUAUCUCGAGAUCGAUCAUCACAAGCUCUUUGACCAGAUCAAGAGCGCAAUCGUGACGGCUAGAGUUACUCUGGCCGAAGUAGCGAAGCAAUUGAUGAAAUGCCACAAAUUGAAGGUUGCUCUCAGGGACAUGAUUUCCUUCCUCACUAAUCACAAGAGGAAAGAAAAUGAAGAAGUCAUCAGGGAGAAAGUUCGCCGGUCUCAAUUGAUCGUAGAAAUUGAAGGGAGCGAAGAAGAAAGCAGCAAGGGCGAGCUGAUAGAAAAAUAAAUAAUACAUAUUGACUGUAAUGGUAUGUUUCCAUUGAUUUUAUUCAGAUUAUUAAAAAGUUCUUUGUUUUCAACAUCAUGAUAUAUGACAACUAGACUCGUCAUGUUGACGAGUUAGGUUGGUUCGAAUCGGAUCGAAAAUAGUCGGACCCUAAAAUGCAAAUUUGGCAACCCAUGUUCAAUAUGACUCAUGAUUUACUUUUAGCAAUUUUUUCCCUUAAAUCGUGGUCUUUGAAGAAUAGGUGUCUCCAUGGACUGACUUGUUAAGUUAGUGAGGGAGCUCGGAGUUCAGUUAUAGAUGAUAGUGUUAAAAUGGUGGUGAAAGUCUGGCCUAGGCCAUCCAUAAAUCAUGAAACGGGUUCGGCUUUUGAAGUCAUUUCUAGUAAUUUGUAAAAUUUUAAAUGACCAUAUGCAACUAGGCCCAUAGAAAGUGAAUUGAAGAAGGGGUUCACAUCCUUAUGUCUUGCUCUAAUGCAACUCGUCUUUAUGGGCAUAUUAAACUCCUAAACCGGUAGCUGAUUAGUAAGAUUUUCUCCAAGUCACGAAGAGGGAAUUAUUGGACUUGAGUAGGUCCUUAAAAGGCUCAAGAAAAAAGAAACAGGCGGGAAAUUCAUUUUGGAGUAGGAGACCCUGCAAUGUCACCUCCCAUAUUCUCACUCAUUCUAGAAGAAAAGCCUGAUUGGGAAUCAAGGGACCUAUCGGUGGUGGAGAUAGACACCACGUUCGUAUCUUAGUUCAAGCUACCAUUGAGUAGGAGAGUAUAAUAGCUCCUUAAACCUGAGGUGAGGUAGGGUGGCUUCAAAAGUACUGCUCAAGCCUAUCAACUGGCUGCUCACCUCGUACCCUUAGUUAAACACAACAGCCGAUGAUUGGCUUAAACUUUUCUCUUCCUCACGCUCACGACAAGUGUAAGCUAAUACCGAAUAAACCCUUUACAUACUAGCUGUGAUUUAAUUGGUCGAACCAAUUAUUCAAGUCACCGUUGCUGAAGAUUCCUGUACAACUAAUGGGAAAAUCAGAAGGGGAAAUUCAGAUGGACAUUUCAUCGAGCAUGUGGGCGACAACAUGCAUAUUUCCAAUGGAAGAACCCAUUGCUCAUUCGGUAAAGUCAUUUGGUCGCAAUGAUAGAAGAACAAGCAGGAAAAAUAAACUUUCCGAAUUGAACUAACCACUUGAGCAACUUUUAGAAGAAACACAGAGAAGGGCCAUAUGAAUGCUUUACACAAAACAUAAUUUUAAUGUAAAUUGUGAGUUGGAGUAUGAAUAUGACUCGAAUAGAAACAUUGACAUAAAUAUGGCAAAAAUGGUUUUCGACAAGCCUCGAUCUUUAAACCCUGCCAAAAUAAAAGAAAAAAUAAUGACUAGUGCUUAACGCACUUGAGUUAAAUCGUCCAACAUUAAUAAAUUGAAUGAAAUUUUUGACUACCUUUUGAAAGAUGGCCUAAUGAAAUUAACCGAAAACUGUGUAAUUCCAAAUAAAGAAAAUUUAGUAAAAACAAAAAUAUUGCAAGUGACACCAUGCCAUAACACUAUUGAUUAACACUAUUGAUUUUGUUAUUUUCAAUAGUUCAACUAAGUAGGGAAAAAUCAAAUUUGCUGAAUAAUUGAUGACCGUUGAUUAUUUAAUUUGAAAAAUCGAAUGGUUGAUGAAUCAUUCGUAAAUGUUGACAUAAAAAAAUGACCAAACUUUUAAUUAUUAUUGACAAAUGAUAAACUCAGUCGAUGGAGACACUUUAUCAAAACGAUCAACAAACUUGAAGAAUCGAAAACACGCUAGUGAACUUUUUGACCACACACAACAUGAAAGUUAUUGAUAGGACCUCUCAUCUAGACUUGAGAAAUGGAUGGACAAAGUCAUAAGUAAUGAGCAAUCAACAUAAAUAUAACUAUUGGGUAAUUAUAUUUGUUGCCACUAACUUAGGAUGUUUGUUUCUUGCAUAUAAGCAUUGCCGAAUAAAUUCUUAUAAAUAAGUGUUGCAUGGAGUAAAUUCUCAUAAUCCUAAUAGGAUUAACAAGUUACUUCUUUCUAUGAAUUGAAAAAGUAUUGUUCUAUAUUGUCGAUAGUGAGCUACAAAUACCCACAUCAUACUCUUGUAAGGGAUCUCCAUCAAUCAAUGAACUCAAGUUUUUUUUUGCAAAUAAAUCUUUAUCUUACAUAAUCGGUAGAAAUUGCCACCAAUUUCCAUAACUCUAGAUAAUGUCAUUUUACUUUUCUAACCAAAAUCAACUAAAGACCUUUCACAAUAUUUGUCAAUUCACUUAGUGAUACCUUUCGAUGAGCUGGAUUCUAAUUAAGAAGGGGUAAGGACAAAUGAGGUCAUCACUUGGGUAAUCAGAUGAGAUUUAUGUUUGAUGUAAUCAUUUAUGCUGCGUUUGCUCGUCCGGAUUUCUAUUAGGAUAGGACUGGAUUGGAUAUGAUAUGAAAUCCUAGGAUAUUUUUAUAUUCAGUCUAUUGUUUGGUGAAUCGUAGUAUUAAAGUCGAAUAUAUUUACAUCAUAUCAUGUACAUUUUUUUAUUAUAUAAAUGGCAUAUCAUUAUAAAUAAACCUAAAUGUUCAUAAACAGAGAUGGUGAAAAUCUCUCGUAACAUUAAUUUUAAUUUAUUUUUAAUUUAUUUUUCCUCUUUUUAUAUUAUUUUCUUUAUUAUUUCUUUUUUUUCCCUUUUGUCAUUAUUUAAUAAAAUUUUAUCAAAUAAUAAACUAUACUAAUAUACCUAAAAUACAAAAAUACCUAAAAUAUAUAAUAAAUUUAAAUAUUUAACUUAUAUAUUGAAUGUUUAUUAUAAAAUAAAAUUAAAGUUGAAUAAAUAAAUUUAAUAAGAUUAAUUUAAAAUAAAUUUCUAUUUUUUAUUUUUAAUUUCUUAAAUUAGAAUUCAAAUUAUUAUUUAUAUUGAAAUAUAAUUUUAAAUUUGUUAAUUUAAUAGGUUUGUUAUUCGAGAAAAAUAACUUUCCUAUUAUGGACAUUAGAAAUUAUAUCCACAUUUAUCACAUCUCUCUCAUGAAAUAAUUUUAUCCUGCCUAUAUCCCUCUUAUAUCUGACUUUAUCCUGUUCUGAGUGAGCAUCAAACAUAGGAUAUGAUAAUUCCAAAUUUUAUCCCGACUGCCAAACGUAAUCUUAGGGUUGCCCCUAUGACACGACUGGCUUUUGCAAAAGCAGAGAAAAGGGUCCAACUAACGCCGGUCCUAUUCGCAUUGGUGCAGCGCGAGUCAUGGGGGAAUCGUUAAAUAAAAAUAUUCAAGAUGUACGUGAUUGACAAAAUCGAUACCGCGUUUGGACCCUCAUAACUUUUCUUGUCAAUUAAACUCAACUUUAAUUGCUCUAGCCAAUCAGUAAACAAGUUUAUAUACUGCCGAAUUAAACUAAAAUUGAAUCGGAAUGUGCUGUGGACAAGUGGCCUUUGCCUUAUCAUCUGGUCUCCCCUUCACCCUCUAGAACUGCACAGCAAGAAAUCGAUCUUCCGUUCUCAUAUUCAUCGCCAAUUUCAUCUCUCGAUUCCGUCCGGUCGAGUGCCCUCUAUACCGGAGAGAUUGGACUGGAAAAAGAACGGCGACCCCAGCUCCAGGCUACUUCAGUAGCCCUGUUGCGGUGGCCAAGGCAGCACCAUCUGCCGUGGCGUCUGUCACGGCCACUGCGAUGGUGCAGAUUUCCAAUAUCAAAUUCGUAAGAAGAAUCAAAUUUUUGUUUUGACAAUUCAAUUAUAUUAUGUAUGAUGGUGCAGUCGGUGGUUCAACCAUUCCUCCCCCGCGAACUCAGGGCUUCCUCUUCUCCGGGAUCCGCGGCUUGCUCUCUUGCUUCUCCAACAAAAUGACGAUCGUCAUCGACGAGUAUGAUGUGAUUAACCCAAACGAGCUCUUCCAGGCAGCCCGGGUGUUCUUGCCUGCCAAGCAAUUCCUUUCGAUGAGGUGAGUCCCAAUGACCAAGCCCGCGAAGGAGGACGGCUUAAGUCUGGCUAUGGACCGAAAUCAAAUGCUGGUGGAUACGUUUUGUGGGAUCAAACUCAAGUGGGUUUUUGCGUUGAGACGGGCAACCGAGGCCUGAACUCGCCGCCGCCGCAGGAAGUUCAGUAGCUCACUUUUCACAAGAAACAUGAGGAGAUCGCCCGCAAGUCCUACCUGCCUUUCCUCGUCAGCGAGGCCAAGUCCAUAAGGCAGGAGAACAAGGCAUUGAAGAUAUACACUGCGAUCUUCGACCGCGGCUAUGGCAGUAAUUAUGGUCGAACAUUAAGUUGGAAUCAACGAAACCAUCAGUAACUACUUUCAGUUCUACUAUUAGAAGUGUGGAAAGGAGUAAAAUACUAAAUUUACAAAAGUUUUCAAUUCAAUCAGAUUGGCCGAAAAAGACAGAAGAACACUAGGAGUACUAGAACUUUUGUACAAUACUCACUUUAGUGCCAAAACUUUUUCUUUUUUUUUCCGCUCACUUGAGUAUCACAUUGGAGUAAAAUUGAUCACUUAAAUGCUAAUUCCGACAAAUCAUCCCUACAUGGAUUUUUUUGAUUUUAUUUUGAUUUUGCUUUUUUUUUUUUUGGCUUUUUUCCUUUAGGGUUGGUGAGGGUUAGGACAACUCUCGUCAACUGCAAAACCCUCACCCUCGGUUGCAAAGGCCCUGGGCAAGGUCAUCGAGGCCUCACUCGUAGACGGCAAGGUCGCGAUGCCCUCGCCAGCUUUGGGUGGCGUCACCUAUAGUCGUUGAGUCUGCGACACCCCCGCCUAGGGCCUUUGCGGUGAGGCGGCCCUCUCCCAGAUCUGGUCAUGAGGGCCCUAGGCGAGGACAUCGUGAUCUCAUUGAUCCUAGGUAAGGUGAUGUUGCUUGCGACUGCCUAGAGCUGGCAAGGGCCCUUGUGGCCUCGCCAAUAGCCAACAAGGCCUCAAUGGCCGCACAAGGACUUCAUGGCUAAGGUUGAGGGAUUCGUUGCUGGUGAGGGUCACAGGUGACCCUUGUUGGCCCUAAAAAAAAGAAGCAAAAAUUAAAAAAUAUUGAAAAUAUCAAAAAAUUGUCCACAUCAUACCAGUGAAGCCAUGUUAGACAACUUUUAUCAUCAUGUUGGAUGACUGGUGUCCAUGAGGCAAAUUGGCAUUAGUACUCAAGUGAUCAAUUUUUUAAAAUUUGUGACAUUUAAGUAAGUGAAAAUUUUUUUAUACUUAAUUGGUCACUAUAUGAAAGUUUUGGCAGUUCUGAUAUCUUUAUUCAGGUCGAAAAAUAGGUACUUGCUACAGUGAUGUUCAUACGCAGUAUCCCAGAAAACAUCAAGGUCAACAUCCACUAGAACCGGUCUUGGACCUUCUUAUCUCCUAAAAUUCUGCUCUCAAUUUCUUCAACAGAAAACUGAAUGUUGAAUCUCCAUCACAAAUUUUUCCCUCCGCAUGUCCUUUCUUAGGUGUGUGGGCCCUGGUGAAUCUCGACCACUUGGCGACAUUCGAGACUCUGGCCAUGGACCUGGAGCUCAGGAAGAAGCUCAUCGACAAUCUCGAGAGGUUUAUGACAAGGAAGGAGCACCACAGGAGAGUCGGCAAGGUGUGGAAAAGAGGGUCUUAUUGUGCGGACCUCGGCACAGGGAAAUCGAGCCUGGUCGCGAGGAUGGCCAAUCCCUUGAAACUCGACAUAUACCAUUAGAGCUGAGUGGACUCCGGAGCAAUGCGAACCUCAGGAGGCUGCUCAUCAACACUGGAAUCAGUCCAUAGUGGUGGUGAAGGACAUCGAUUGCACCAUGAUGUUGCAAGAUAGGAUGUUAGAAACCCAAGCCACAUACAUGGAUAUUACGUCAACCCGUCUUUUUCGCAAGAAAAUCAAGUACGAUCUUCUUUUUAUUUAGCAUAAGGUUUAGUUCAAUUGUUUUGUAGUAUGCAUAUUAUCUGUCUUUGACAUUUAACUUAAGUUUGUCAUUACAACUUUAACUUUUCACAUGGAAGAGGUGACAUUGUCGAGAUUCCUCAACUUCAUCAAUGGCUUUGGUCAAGUUGCGGCAAUGAGCGGAUCGUAGUCUUCACGAUGAACCACAUGGAGAAAUUGAACUCAACCCUAUUGCGCCCAAUUUGCAUGGACCUGCACAUUCCCAUGCCUUAUUGCACCUUGUGCGGGUUCAAGCUUCUCAUUUUUAAUUAUCUUGGGAUCGAUAGCUGUGAGCUCUCCGACCAUAUUGAGAGUUUGUUCGAGACAACUAGAAUUACUCUUGCCGAAGUAGCGGAGCAGUUGUUGAAGAGCGACGAACCAGAGGUCGCUCUCAGGGACAUGGUUUCCUUCCUAGUUAAUCACAAUAGGUAAAAUAAUUAAGAAGUCAUUUAGGAGAAAGUAUGUCAGUGCCAAUUGGUCGAAAAAAUGGAUGGAGUGAAAAGGAAAGCAGAAGUUAUGAACUAAUUGAAAAUUAGAUAAGAGAUAAGGAUUGUGCCGUCCAUCGAUUUUAAUAAGAUUAUUAUAGAUUUUUUUUGUAUAAAGAAAGAUGAUGUGUGAAAACAUUGGAAAUUACAAUUGAACUUGGUUUACUUGCCUUAAUAUCUUUCUUUGAUUGUUAUCAACCUUGGCCAAUUGGACAUGAGCAGGUCUUUAAAAGGCUCAUGGAGGAAACAAAUGGGAAAACCGCCCUGGGAUGAGAGACCCCGCGCUGUCCUCCUAUUUCCUCUCUGUCGGGAAGACAAAGAUAGACAAUGAAUUAGGGAGUCUCAUGGUGGUGAAAGUAGACAUCACGUCAGGACUUCGGUUCUGGCUACUAUCGGGUAGGCAGGUAAAAUAGCUUCUCAUGCCUGGAGUAAGGGAGGGUAGGUUAAAUACCUACAACUGGGUUGACAUGCCUUAUGGCACUGUCCUUAACCAUAGGUUGACCCAGUUCCCCCGGUUGAGGACAGCGCCGUUCCCCCGGCCGUGAGAUUGCAACUUGUUUUGAAGAUCCAAUAGAUCUUAAACAUAGGCAAUACUUGAGAGAAUCACUGAUUUUUAUGUAGUCAUUUUUGAAUUCUAACAUGAAAUAAAAUUUACGAUAAGAUGUGUGGACAUUUCACCGAAAAAAGUAAUUAUUAUUUUUUUUGGUGGAAAUGUAAUUAAUUUACUCAAUAUCAACCAUGAAAUGCUAAUGUAUUGAAAUGAAAGUUCUUAAUUCAUCUAGCCUAAUUUAUUGAAUCUCUCUGAUGCAAUAGCUUCAUAAGAAAUUGAAUCAAGAGGAUUCGAUUCCUUUAUACCAAUGUGUCAGGGAGAAAGUAUUCUACAUUGUUCGUCUUUCCUCAAAAAAAUUAAGAGGUAUUCUAGGAUGAGUGUGUUUUGUAUGCUCAGCGUACACUUCGUCGACUUUCCUGUCACUGUCACUGCGGUAUCUUGUUCCCCCUGCAUCUCCCACAGGACCUCUUUCGUUUUCUUCCUCUGUUAUGCAACAACCGUUUCCGUUCCCCUUGGAUCCUAGCAGAGCAGCAUCUGACGGAGACAGCACAGAACUCACAUGCCUUAAUCUGUCAUUGUCAAGAAGAAUAUGUCUUCUUCUCGUUCCAGGAUUUCCUCCGCUAGAAUGAACUGCUUCCCAUGAUACGGUUUUGCCUUCGAAAAGGAUGAACCUUCCAUGCAGGUAAUCAUUUUCAGGUCCAUUCAGCCAGUCUACAGUAGCAUUCUCCUCCAGGAAGUUGGCAGCAGUUCCAGGAGUUAAUCUCUUCUCGUGGUUGGCCUCGCCGCCAGCAGUCUCAAAUCCUUUCCCAGUUCUUCUUCGGAUGGAAUCUACUGCUGUUCAAUCAGUACCUAGAAAAUCCUUUUUCUGGCCUCCCCAGCUCAAGGGACAAGUCAACCGGCGAUGAUAGCGAGGGCCAUCGAGAGAACUUACCACAUGCAGCGAUGCUUGACAUCAUGUUCAAUCUUUUAAGCCCAGCUUCUGAAGUUAAGAUAUGCUCCUUUCCACUGCUUUCUAUGUUAUAAUCCGUAGCGCUCAAUCCACUCUGGCGAUCAAGGUAUAUUAUCGUUCAUUAGUACUGUUGUAGCAUGUAGAAACGUGCCUUAAAACUCUUGCCUUGAUUCUGAUGCCAUCGUUAAUCCACAGCACAGAAAUCAGCAAAAACAUACAUGGAAGAUUCAAGAUGCCCACUAAUUUAUAUCCGAUGAGGUGAUUGUGUAAAUAGUUUUCUACAAGAAAAGCCAACGACAGAAUGAAUUUUGCAUCAAGAUUUCUCCGGCUUUUGCAUAUGCCUUCUAUUCACAUGCAUUAUCCAUUAGUUCAUCCAGAGGUAAUUCUAGGCCUACCAUCUAUAUGUGGAUGAAUUCUCCUGGCGCAUGCCUAAUCUCACGUGCAAAUGUAUGUACAGCGCAUCCCCAUUAGAACGCCCAUCAUUAUCAGUAUUGGCAAAGAGGGACCUGUAGCACCUCUAGAUUGUCAAACAGAACGAAAAGUUCACUGCAACCGUAUGACAUAAUCAUAAAAAGAUGACUAUGGAAGGAGAAGGAUGAAGGCAAAGACACAGAUGACUAUCAGCUGCACUCGGAUGCGCUGAACCAAUCACUAUGGUCCAGAGGAGAAGGCAGAAGCAGUCCCAGAAGAGUGAGAGAAACUAUCAUCAUCAGUGGAGAAUGUGAUCUCCGCUCCCUCUGCAAAUUCUUGAUUAACUGAAUCUAACAGAUUCACAGCCAUCUGUACCUGGAGACACCACUUCCGGAGAGACUAUUUCACCUGGACAAUGAACCAGUCCUACCCUUAUCAACAGGCUGAAUCUUGACGUACAUAAUAGGUUGAGCCAUAUUCUUAAAGUUCCUAUUGCAAUUCUUUCAAUAACACAAGAAAAAAAAAUCACAGAUUUGAGGAAGAAGAUGAAAUUGGUUGUUGUACAGUAGAGAUAAUUAAGGAUGUCGUGCACUUUUUAGUGGAGAGAGUGGGUAGGUAACUUCUUGCUUUCUACAAUUUUAUCUAUUUUCUUUAGCCAAAUUUCACUUCUUCUUUUUUUUCCUCUCUUUAACACUUAAUUGCAUUAUAAUAUUAAAAGAACGUGAAGAUGAAGGGAAACUGUGAAACUUACGAUAAGAUAAACUGAUGUUUUAGCCUGUAUUUAUUGAUAUUCCUACCAUUUUUCUUCAUGGCACUAUCGAUAUGGGGGAGAAUUAUCAAAAAAGUCAUAAUCUAUUGUAAUUGUGCCAAUUCAGUUAUAAACUUUUUUUUUUUGGGUCAAUUUAGUCUUAAACCUUUUACAAUUGUGUCAAUGUCAGCCGAUGGAUGCUAAUGUGGCAAUUUUUUUAUAUAUAUUUUUUUAAAAUUUUUGAUAUUUUUUUUUUAAUUUUUUUCCCUUUUUUUCCCCUUCUUCUCCUUUCUUUGGCUGGCCGGCACCGGCCAGAGGCGAGGGCUGGUGAGGUCUGGCGAGGUGGUCGACCUCGCUAGUGGCUAGCAAGGUGGCCGUCGCUAGAUUUAGAGAGGCUCGACCUUGCCAUGGCUGGGCGAGGCCGAGCCUCGCCAGAUUUGACGAUGGCGGUCUCACCGUUGUUGGGCGAGGCUUGCCUUCGCUAGUGGCCGGUGGGGGUGAGCCUCGCCAGUGGCCGGUGAGGCUAACCUUGCUGGCCCUCACCUGGAUGGUCAGCAUCGGCCGGAGGAAGGAGAAGAAGGGGGAAGAAAGGGAAAAAAUAUUUUUAAAAAAAAAAGAAAAAAAUUGAAAAAAAAAAUUAAAAAUUGCUACAUCAGUGUUCACUGGCCAGCUGUCCCUGGCUGGUGUCCAUGUCAGUGUUGGCUAGUCAAUUUUGAUCGGAUUGAUUGAAUUUGCACAAUUGUAAAACGUUUAGGACUAAAUUGGCAAAAAAAAAAAAAGUUUAGGAUUGAAUUGACACAAUUAUAAUAGAUUUAUAUUUUUUUGGUAAUUCUCGCAUCGUUAUGGUGUUAUCUAUUUUGAGGACGUUUUUGAUAUUCCAAAACAAAUUCUUUUCCAUUCCAUUGUUUUUGGAUACAACACAAGGAAUUACCACAGUAUCUCUUUCGCACUUAUCUUGCACAUGAAAUCUCAUUUUGUACAUGAAUUAUACAACUUGACGAGGAUACACCAGGAAGUGAGCCAACUAUAAAGAUAGUGAUUAUUGAGGAUUUCGGCAUAGAAAUCAUCGAUGAGAAAUUACUAUAUGAUCUUAUUUUUUUAUUAUUUUAUGAUCCACAAAUCAAGUGAGAUGACAUGAUUUGAAUCAUUAAUUAUACGGGUCAAAUAAUAAAUUUCUCACAACUGGCCUGCAUAAUCUAUGUACCAUGCGAUAAAUGCCACUCGCAUCAUUAAAUAUAUGGGUAUAUUAUACGGGUCAAAUAAUAAAUUUCUCAGCCUGCAUAAUCUAUGUACCAUGUGAUAAAUGCCACUUGCAUAAUUAAUUAUAUGGGUAUAUUAUACGAGUCAAAUAAUAAAUUUCUCACAACUGGCCUGCAUAAUCUAUAAAUGCCACUUGCAUCAUUAAUUAUAUGAGUAUAUUAUACGGGUCAAAUAAUAAAUUUCUCACAACUAGCCUGCAUAAUCAUGCGAUAAAUGCCACUUGCAUCAUUGAUUAUAUGGGUAUAUUAUAAUUUCCACAUGAUCAACAAUCUAAACGAACUCGGUUUGCGUGAUCUAUGUCCCUCCCCCUCAGACAUAUACCGAUUAAUUACUCGAGACACGCGGCGCUCCGGGGAUGGCCUUGAGAAAGCGAGCACGUAAGUGGUCCUAAUUCAAUUGACUAGCGAUGAGGACGGAUGCGGUUAUUAUUUGCUUAAAUUUUUCUAGGGUUUCUUUUAAAGAACACGAACAAUCUUUGCGAAAGCAAAACGCACUAAAGAAAAGGUUCCCACUUCCUAACUAGACAAAAGAAUCAUUUCUAAAAUAAAUAGAGCUCGGAUCGAAAUCUAGAAGUCUUCGACCAUAGAAAAAAGAAGGUCUAGAAGUCAAACACUCCUCCAACUUCUACACGUAAUGCAGAGCGUGAUGAUUACUCCCAGAUGUCCCCGGAUAUUCAGAGAUUACCACGAGAAUUAAGGGCAAAACCAUCAUUAGAGAUAGGUCAUUCUAAAUAUCACCAAAUUUAUGAAAUCGAUGGCUCAUAAGUAUCCCACAACCUCCAUAGUUAAAAAAUAUUCCGACUCGAAAGUUACAUGCGAAUGAACAUUCUCAAUGCCAAUGCCUUCAAAAUAUGUCAAAACAAGAACGUGUGAUGUACAUGUGGUUUCGCCUUAUAUCGAAACACGACCAUUAAAUUAGACAUUUCAUGGUAUCGGUGCAUAUGCUGUUUAUACAAAUGCAAUCGCGAUAACAAUGCGCCUCGUUGAUGUUGCUUUGACAUCUGCCACCACCCUGAAAAGAAAAAAGAUACGAGGAAAGUGUAAAGGAAGGUGCAAGAAGGACGAAAUAUCACGGCAUUCGAAAGGGCAAAGCUAAAGUCUUUGCGAAGACUUUGACUUUAAACGGGUUCAUGAACCAGCUCGGUCAAGAAGGCAACACCCCAAUUUUCAAGUAAUUUGUGCUUCGGCGUCGCUUUGUCAAAGACUGACUUAAACAUAGAGAUUUUUACUCCACAAAAAGAAAAAAUGUUACUAAGCUCACUCUAUAAACUCCAGAGAUCCAACCCUCGCUUCCUUGCUCUCUCAUUCACCCCAAAAGGUUUCGUCCAAUCAACGAUUCCAUCUCGCGGUUUUCUCCGGCCGAUUACUGUCUACUGCCGAGCUGCUUAGAUGACGACCCCUGCUCCGUCCGACUUCAAGAACGCCGUCGCGGUGGCCAAGGCAGUGCUGUCUGCUGCGGCCUCCGUGACAGCCACGGCCAUGGUGGUGCAGUCCAUGGUUCACACAAUCGUUCCCCGUGAGCUCCAGGGCCUCCUCUUCUCCAGGAUCCGCGGCUUCUUCUCCCGUUUCUCCAAUGAAAUGACCAUGGUUGUCGACGAGUACGACGGGUUCGUCCAAAACGAGCUCUUUGAGGCAGCUCAGGUUUUCUUGGCUGCCAAGCAAUCCCCUUCGACGACACGCAUCCGGGUGUCCAAGCCUACGAAGGAGAACCACUUCACCGUGGCCAUGGACCGAAAUCAAGCGCUGGUGGAUACCUUUCAAGGGGUUGAACUCAAGUGGGUAUCCGCAUCGAGACAGAUCGACUCGGGCCACCGAGUUUAUCAUGGUCGGAACACGACGGUUCAGUACGAAGUUCAGUACUUCGAGCUCACUUUUCACAAGAAACACAAGGAGAUCGUGCUCAAUUCCUACCUGCCUUUCGUCGUCAGCGAGGCGAAGUCCAUGAAGCAGGGGAAGAAGACGCUGAAGCUACACACUCCAAGCUUUGACCGCGUCCGCGUCUAUGGCGGUAAGUAUCAUCGAACAUAAAGUUCGAAUCGACGAAAUUAUCUGUAAAGAUGUUUAAUUCUGCUGUUAGAAAAGUGGAAAGGAGUAAAUAUACUAAAUUGACGUUACUUUUUUAUUCAAAUGGACAAGUCAGAAGUACCAUAGACAUUGUAAAAAUGCAAUUAAUUGGUCCUAUCCAAAAAAAACCAUUUGCUACAGAAAAGUUCAUAUGCGACAGCCUAAAGAACAUUAAGGUCAAAAUUUACCAGAACCAGUCUUGCCCCUUCUUACCUACUAUUAUUCUGCUCUCAAUUUCUUCAUCAGAAAACUGAAUUUUGUAUCUGCUUCACAUUUUUUUUCCUCUACAGGUCCUCUCUCAGAUGCAUGGGCCUCAGUGAACCUCGACCACCCGGCGACAUUUGGGACACUGGCCAUGGACCUAGAGCUUAAGAAGACAAUCAUGGACGAUCUCGAGAGGUUCGUGAGGAGGAAAGAGUAUUAUAGGAGAGUAGGCAAGGCGUGGAAGAGAGGGUACUUAUUGUAUGGACCCCCUGGCACAGGGAAAUCGAGCCUGAUUGCGGCGAUGGCCAAUUACUUGAACUUCGACAUAUACGACCUAGAGCUGAGCGGGCUCCGGAGCAAUGCGGAGCUCAGGAAACUGCUUGUUGCCACCGCGAAUCACUCCAUAUUGGUGGUUGAGGACAUCGAUUGCACCAUUGAGUUGCAAGAUAGGAAGUCCGAAACCCGAGCCGCGCGCAUGAAUAUGAUGUCCACCGAUUAUCCACGAGAAGAUGUACAAUUUUUUUUUUUCUUUUUGCCUUUCAUUUUUGGUACAAGGUUUACUUCAGUUUGUCGCAUGCUAUGCUUAUGAUUUGUUCUUGACAUUUAACUUGUUUGUCACUACGACAUUAAUUUUUGUAUCGUGGAACAGCUGACGCUGUCGGGAUUCCUCAACUUCAUCGAUGGGCUUUGGUCGAGUUGUGGCGAUGAGCGGAUCAUAGUAUUCACUACCAACCACAAGGAGAAACUAGACUCAGCCCUAUUGCGCCCAGGGCGCAUGGACGUGCACGUUCACAUGUCCUAUUGCACCCCCUGUGGAUUCAAGCUUCUUGCUUCUAAUUAUCUUGGGAUUGAUCACCACGAGCUCUUCAAUCAAAUCGAGAGUUCAAUCACAACAGCGAGAGUCACUCCAGCCGAAGUGGCAGAGCAGUUGAUGAAGAGCGACGAACCAGAGGUCGCUCUCAAGGACUUGGUUUCCUUCCUCGCUGAUCACAAGUGGAAAAAAAAUGAAGAAGUCAUAAAGGAGAAAGUUUGCCAGUGCCAAUUGGUUGAAGAAAAUGGAGGAACUGAAGAGGAAAGCGAUAAGUGCGAAAUAAUUGAAGAGUAACCAAUAAACAUCGACUAUGUUGGUAUGUUUUGAUCGAUUUUAAUUUAGAUUAUUAUAAAGAAAGUGAUCAUUGAAUAUAAAGUAAUUGUAUGAAGUCACUACAUGGUCAUCCAAAUUAUUAAUUAUGUGAGUCAAAUGGUAAAAUCAAAUGGUCAACGGUUUAGACGAACUCGAUUUACAUGGUUUGUCAACCAUGCAAUCUUUUCAUGAUCGAAUAUUCAAAUCAUGCUAACAGUAUAAUUUGCUUUAUAUAGUUAUAUCGCGUCAAGGACACAUAAUGUGGCAUUAAUGUUUUCUCAUGGUUUGGACCUUCCACGGAAUCUCAAAUAUGCUUGGGUUGGCUGAAAGCAUUAUUUGUCUGAGCUUGGAUUCUAAUUCAAUUGGACUCAACCUAAUUCUCGAUGGGUUCCUAGUCAUCCGUUGCUAGAGUCAUCUCAUGGGUACAUGCUUCUUUCCUUAGAAACACGGCAAGUUUCGCAAAAGCAAAACGAGCUAGGAAAGGUUCCCUACUAGCAUCGGUCGUAUUCGCAUCAUGCGGGGGGAGUUAAGGAGAGAGCUUUAAAUAGAUCAUCCUAAAAUGGAGCUAACUUACCUCGAGAUGCGACCAUUGAAUAAGAUAAUCGCACGGGGUUGGUCGAUCUGGUUUCAAUAUUUGCCAUCACUCCGCAAAAGAAAAAGGCCAAGAGCGGCGCCCCGUGGGGGCAAGAACGAAAGCCUACCAAGGCUUGGGCUAGGAACAGUCCAGGCCAGGAACCAGCCCAAUAAUUCCAUGCAUUUGUAGAGAGUUCGUUGUUGAUCUCCCAUUCACACCCUAAAAAAUUCUACAAUAACUGGUCGAUCUCCGAUUAUCUUAUUCAUCGCCACUGUCAUCUCCCGAUUUCCUCCGGUCAUAUACCGUCUGUCCCCCGUAUAUUGAACUGAAAAGAUUGGCGACCCCUGCUCCAAGCGACUCCAAGAACCGCGUCGCGGUGGCCAAGGCUGUGCUGUCUGCCGAGGCCUCCGUGAUGGUGGUGCAGUCAGUGGUUCGACUGUUCCUCCCUCCCGAAUUCCAGGGCUUCCUCUUCUCUAAGAUUCACGGCUUCUUCUGUUGCUUCUGCAACGAAAUGACCAUGGUCAUCGGACAGUACGAUGGGUACAGCCAAAACGACCUCUUCGGGGCCGCCCAGGUUCUCCUGGCCACCAAGCAAUCCCUUUCGAUGCAGCGCGUGCAAGUGACCAAGUCCCCGAAGGAGAACCACUUCACUCUGGCUAUGGACCAGAAUCAAAUGCCGGUGGAUACGUUUCACGGGGUCAAACUCAAUUGGGUUUUCGUGUUGAGACAGGUCGACUCGGGCCACCAAGUCCAUCAAGGCUCCACGGUUCAGCACGAAGUUCAGCACUUCGAGCUUAGUUUUCACAAGAAAAACAGGGAGAUCGUGGUCAAAUCCUAUCUGCCUUUCCUCAUCGACGAGGCCAAGUCCAUAAAGCAGGGGAACAAGAGGCUGAAGCUAUGCACUCCGGGUUCCAACGCCAAUUAUCUUUAACUAUGUUCAAUUCUACUAUUAGAAUUUAAAGUGAAAAGCUGUGACGAUAAAUUCACAAAAACUUCUUAGUUCAAUCGGACUAAGUCGGAGGUAUCAUAUAAAGUCCAGUAAAAAAUAAGUACUUACUACAUAAAAGUUAAUCAGUAAAAUCCUAAAGAACAUUAAGAUCAAAAUUCACUAGAACCAGCUUGCACCUUCUUCUCAAUGAUUAUGAGCUCAAUUUCUUCAGCAGGAGACUGAAUCUUGUGUCUCCAUCACAAUUUGUUUCCUCUACAGGCCCUUUCCCAGGCACGCCACCCGGCAACAUUCCAAACACUGGCCAUGCACGUAGAGCUCAAGAAGAAGAUUAUCGGCGAACUCGACAGCUUUGUAAGGAGGAAGGAGUAGUACAGGAGAGCUGGCGAAGCGUGGAAAAGAGGGUACUUAUUGUACGGACACCCUGGAACGGGGAAAUCGAGCCUGGUCGCCGCAAUUGCUAAUUACUCACGGCCGUGCUACAACUGAGUGGGCUCCACACCAAUGCAGAGCUCAGGAGGCUCUCGUCGCCACCAUGAAUCAGUCCAUAUUGGUGGUUGAGGACAUCGAUUGCACCAUUCAAUUGCAAGAUAGGAAGUUGGAAACAUGAGCCACCAGCAAGAAUCCGACAUCGACGGGUUAUCGGCGAAAAGAUCAAGUACUACUUUUUCUUUUUGCUUUCUUUUUGAGUAAAAGGUCUAGUUCAUUUGUUGCAUAUAUAAAUAUGAUUUGUCCUCAACAUUUAACUCAUGUUUGUCACUACAUUAAUUUUUUUCUCAUGGAACAGGUGACAUCAUCCAAAUUCCUCAACUUCAUCAAUGGGCUUUGGUCGAGUUGUGGUGAUGAGUGGAUCAUAGUUUUCACGACGAGCCAUUUUGAGAAAUUAGACCCAGCCCCGUUGCGCCCCCAGGGUGCAUGGACUUGCAUGUUCCCAUGUACUAUUACACUGCUUGUGGGUUUAGGCUUCUCGCUUCUAAUUAUUUCGGGAUCGAUCACCACGAGCUCUUUGACCAAACCAAGAGUGCAAUCACAAUGGCUAGAGUCACUCCAGCCGAAGUAAUAGAGCAGUUGAUGAAGAGCAACUUGGGGACAUGGUAUACUUCCUUGCUAAUCACAAGAGGAAAGAAAAUGAAGAGGUCAAUGAGGAGAAAGUUUUUUCGGUCUCAAUUGGUUGAAGAUAAUGGAGGGGUGAAGAAGAAAGUGGUGAGUGCGAACUAAUUAAAGAAUAAACAAUAAACACCGACUAUGUGGGUACGUUCCAUCGAUUUUAACUUAGAGUAUUAUAAAAAUCUCGAUUAUUAUGGAUUCAACCACAAAAGUGACGGAUGGAAAGCUACUGUAUCUUCAUCCAAAUUAUUAAUAAUUUGAGUCAAAUGAUAAAAUCACGUGAUCAAAUAGACUAAAUGAACUCGAUUUAUAUGAUCGAUGAGCUAUGCGAUAUUUUGAAAUUAUUGAUAUUCAUGUCAUGCCGACCGUAAAAUUUGCUUCUUGUAGUUACUGCGGCAAGGACACAUAAUUAGACACUAAUGACAGUCUCAUGUUUUGGGCCUUCCAUGAAAUAUUGAAUUUGCUUGGGUCGGCUGAAAACAUUCAUUGCCUAUCCGAUUUUUAGACCAACCAUUGGGGUCAAGGUCAUUUCGGUCUUUUUAUUCUUCCCUAUGGGCAAGAUAGAAAAUUUCUUUUUUCUCCUUUUCUAUUAAUAUUAAAGAAGGUUUGGACUUAUUGGAGCAUUCAACUAAUUGUUGUUUGAUAUGAUAAUCAUCCAUGGAGGGGAUUAGCAAAAGCAGACGAGGGACAAAAGGUAUAGUGCAGGGCAAGUUAAGGAGAGAUACGAGAAAAAUAUAUUGAAAAUUUUAAAACUUAUUACGAAAGUGUAAUCGAGUGUUGAAAUUUUUAAAAAUAUACAAUUAAAUGAUAAAAUUUGUGGAAUUGGUGCGAUUGAAUCAUUCCACUGCGGAAAAUGCUGACUUCCCUGUUACAUGGCGAUAAUGUAGUUAAAAUGACAUUAUUUUGUUUCAAAUUUGAUUUUAAAUACAAAUUAUAUUUAAUUUAAAUUAAAAAUUAAGAAAAUUAUAAAAAAAAAAUAAGAGCAGAAAGGGCGCGUGAGGGUUUGCAACCCUUGGGGCUGGUGCCCGUGCCGACCGUUCCCCAUCCCGGUGAUUUAGGGUGGCAGCGACGAAAAGGGUUGCAAACCCCUCUUCCUCCUUUGCUUUUUCCCCAAAGUUUUCUUAUUUUUAAUAUAAUUAAAAAUAAAAUUAAUAUUAAAAAAUUGAAUUUUGACUAACAUGACGUUAUUUAAGUCAUGAAUCAUGAUGACAUCACGUAGGAAAAAGAAAAUAAUAAAAAAAUCACGUCAUCGUUUUUUAUUAUUCAAGUUGGACAGAGUUAAUAUAAUUACUUGAUUGCAUUAAUUUGAUAAUUUUUAUGAUUUAAUAACAUUUUUUAAAAGUUUUAAAAUUUAAUUAUAUUUUUUUUUUAUAAAUUUUAAGAUUUUUAUUGUACCUACUCAUAAAUCAUUCUAAAUAUAACUGAUUUAUUAAAAAUGUGAUCUUAAAAUAGUCCACGCGAAUCAAUAAACGAGUUUAUACUAUCUAAUCAAACUAAAUCGAAGUGGAACGUGCGUGGUUUUGCCUUACCUCGAGACGCAAUCAUUGAAUCAGAUAAUUGGUUGGGAUUUAGUCGAUCUGAUUGUAACGGCAAAAGCAAAGGGUACGAAGACCUGGACUAAGAACAGUGCAUGAAUCAGCUCAGUCGAGAAGGUAACAGAAAAAGCAUCGGGGUGGUUUUGUACCUUUGUGCUUUCCAGCUGGUACUUCCGGUGGGAUGUCGCCAGCUCUCCCUUUUAAAUCCAGGACCGACUCUGGUUGACGGUAACAUAAUCAUCUCCGAUUCUCCAAUUCUCACAUCCCAUCUUAAUACCAAACAGAGUAAACUGAAAACAAUGGCGACCACCCCAGCUCCGAACGAGUUCAGGAACCCCAUUGCGGUGGCCAAGGCAGUGCUGUCUGCUGCGACCUCCGUGACGGCCACCGUGAUGGUGGUGCGGUCGGUGGUUCGACCCUUCAUCCCCCGCGAAUUCCAGGACUUCCUCUUUGACUUCCUCUUUUCCAGGAUCCGCGGCUUCUCGUCUCGCUUCUGCAACGAGAUGACCAUGGUCAUCGAACGGCACGAUGGGUACGCCCAAAACGAGCUCUUUGGGGGCGGCCCGGGUUUUCCUGGCCGCCAAGCAAUCCGGUUCCGUACGGCGCAUGCGAGUGACCAAGUCCACGAAGGAGACCCACUCCACUGCGGCUUUUAUUGACCAGAAUCAAAUGCUCGUGGACACGUUUCACGGGGUCAAAUUGAAGUGGGUUUUGGUGUCAAGACAAGUCGGCUCGGUUGGCAACCGAGUUCAUCAAGGCCCAAACUCAACGGUUCAACACGGAGAUCAGUACUUUGAGCUCACUUUUGACAAGAAACAUAAGGAGAUCGUGGACAAAUCCUAUCUGCCUUUCGUCAUGAACCAGGCCAAGUCCAUAAAGCAGGAGAAGAAGACGUUGAAACUUUACACUGCAAGCUCUAACGGUAAUUUUUUGUAGAACAUUUUGUUGGAAUCAUCGGUUAUCUUUAAAUAUGUUCAAUUCUACCAUUAGAAGUGGAAAGGGAGUGAUAUUAAGGUUCCCUAACUUCCACGAAAAUGUUUUCGUGAUUUCCGACUCUCGGUGAAAAAUAAACUUUUAUGGAGAACGUUUUUUGCUAUUGUAAAAAAAAAAAAAAAAAAUUCAAAAGUGGGUAAAAAGUUUUCUACUUUCCUGUAACUUUUUUCACCAAACACAUUUUCCUUUUAUUUUUAUACUUUCUUUUUUUUCUUUUAAAAAAUUGAAUCUUUAAUAUUUUUUUUUCUUCCUCCACAUUAGUCAUUGGCCACAAGCCAGCUUGAGUCUUGUCACAAGCCGUUAAGGCCAGUGAUACCUUGAGCCCGACUUGCCUCAGGCAAGCUCGAGCGCACUUGGAUCAGCCUAGCUUUGGCUCGCUGACUCGCGUCUUGGUCGAUUGUUGGGGAGCCAACCAUUGCUGAGGCACGCACCAGUGGAGGAAGGAAAAGAAAAAUAAAGAAAAAAAAACAAAAAAAAAUUGAUUUAAAAAAAUAAAAAAUAAAUAAAAAAUUCAAAUUUUAAAAAUAUAUAAAAACGAAAAUUAAUUGUUUUGGUCAAUUAAAAAAUAAUUUUUUUUUUUUGGUAAUUUCUCCUAGAAAAUCAAAUCAAAUAUCGAACGAUGAAAAAUAAUUUUCACUUCAUUUUUAGAUUUCUGUUGAACAUCGGAAUUUUCACCUCAUUUUUAGAUUUCUAUUGAACAUUGGAAAAUAUCGUUAUUUUCUUGUAAAAUGCUUAUUGAAAAAUAUUUUUCGAAAAUGUGAUUUUUAAGCGGAGUCUAAAUUCGUAAAAAACUUUUCAGCUCAAUCAGACUAGUUAGAAGUCCAGCCCAAAGUAACUACUUGCUACAGAAAAGUUCAUAAGUAAAAUCCUAAAGUAACAUUAAGGUAAAAUUAACUAGAACAAGUCCUGCACCUUCUUAUAUAUGAUUCUGCCCUCAAUUUCUUCAACAGAAAAUUGAAUUUUGUAUCUCCAUUAAAUGGGUCGGGUAUGGGUCGUAUACGGGUCGGGUCGGGUAUGGGUCAAAAUUUUUGCAUUGUAAUAAAUGGGUCAUAAACGGGUUAAAUGGGUCGAUUUGGGUCGGACCAUUUAUGACCCGACCCAAACCCGACCCGACCCACCCGUUUAACGGGUCUAGUCCUUGGUGAACCUCAACCACCCGGCGACGUUCCAGACAUUGGCCAUGGACCUAGAGCUCAAGAAGAAGAUCCUCGACGACCUCGACAGGUUCGUGAGGAGGAAGGAGUACUACAGGAGAGUCGGCAAGGUGUGGAAAAGAGGGUACCUAUUGUACGGACCCCCUGGAACAGGAAAAUCGAGCUUGGUCGCCGCGAUGGCCAAUUACUUGAACUUCGACGUAUACGACCUAGAACUGAGUGGGCUUCGGAGCAAUGCGAACCUCAGGAGAUUGCUCGUCGCCACCACGAAUCAGUCCAUAUUGGUGGUCGAGGACAUCGAUUGCACCAUUCAGUUGCAAGAUAGGAAUCCAGGAACACGAGCCGCCGGCAUGAAUCCGAUGUUGAUGUGUUAUCAACAACAAGAUCAAGUACAAUUUUUUCUUUUUUGCUUUCUUUUUUAAUAUGAGGUCUAGUUCAAUUGCUGCGUACUAUGAAUAUGAUUUGUCCUCGAUGUUUAAUUCAUGUUUGUACCUACAACAAUAUUUUUUUUUUCUUAAUGAAAUAGGUGACGUUGUCUGGAUUUCUCAACUUCACCGAUGGGCUUUGGUUGAGCUGCGGCAAUGAGCAAAUCAUAGUCUUCAUGACAAACCAUGUUGAGAAACUAGACCCGGCCAUAUUGCGCCCAGGGCGCAUGGAUUUGCAUAUUCCCAUGUCCUAUUGCACCCCUUGUGGGUUCAGGCUUCUAGCUUAUAAUUAUCUCGGGAUCGAUCAUCAUGAGCUUUCCAACCAAAUUGAGAGCGCGAUCACGAUGGCUAGAGUCACUCCGGCUGAAGUAGCGGAGGAGUUGAUGAAGUGUGAUGAAUCAGAGAUCAUCCUCAGGGACAUGGUUUCCUUCCUCACUAAUCACAAGAGGAAAGAAAAUGAAGAAGUCAUCAAGGAGAACGUUUGUCGCUCUCAAUUGAUCGUAGAAAUUGGAGGGAGUGAAGAAGAAAGCAGCAAGGGCAAGCUAAUUGAAAAAUAAAUAAUACAUGUCGACUGCAAUGGUAUGUUUCCAUAGAUGUUAUUUAGAUUAUUAUAGAGUUCUUUGUAUUAAGCAUGAUGAUGUAUGACAACUAGCCCCGUCAUACUGACGGGUUAGGAUAGGUCAGGUCGGGUCAAAAAUAGUCGGGCCUUAAAAUGCAAAUUUGGCAACCCAUGUUUGACAUGAUUCAAGAUCUACUUUUAGCAAUUUUUUCUUUUAAAAUUUGUGGUCUUUGAAGAAUAGGCGGCUCCAUGGAUUGACUCGUCGAGUUGGUGAGGGAGCUUGGGGUUCGGUUAUAGACAGAAGCGUUAAAGUGGUGGUGAAAGUCCAGUCCGGGCCAUCCAUAAAUUGUUCGGUCUCUAAACUCAUUUUCACUUAUUUGUAGAAUUUUAAAUGACCCGUAUGCAACCUGGCCCAUAGAAAGUAAAUUGAAAAAUGAGUUCACACCCUUAUGUCUUGCUCCAAUGCAACUCGUCUUUAUGGGCAUAUUAAAGUCCCGCACCCGGCAGCUGACCAGAAAGAUUUUCACUAAGUCAUGAAGAAGGAAUUACAUAUCUCAACAGCUGAUGAUCGGCUUAAAAUUUUAUCUUUAUCGUGCUCACGACAAGUGUAAGCUAAUCGGAAUAAACCCUUUACAUACUACCUGUGAUUCAACUGGCCGAACUAUUAUACUAGUCACCGUUGCUGAAGAUUCCUACGCAACUAAUAGGAAAAUCAGAAGGGGAAAUUCACAUGGACAUCUCAUCAAGCAUGUGGGCGACGACAUGCAUAUUUCCAAUAGAGAAGAACCCAUAUACUCAUUCGGCAGAGUCAUUUCGUCGCAAUGAUAGAAGACCAAGCAGCAAAAAUCGACUUUCCGAAUUGAACUAGUUACUCGAGCAACUUUUAGAAGAAAGACAUAAAAGAGCCAUAUGAUUGCUUUACACAAAACGUGAUUUUAAUGUAAAUUAUGGGUUGGAAUAUGAGUAUGACCCAGAUAAAAACAUUGAAAUAAAUAUAGCAAAAUUGGUUUUCGACAAGUCUCUGUCUUUAAACCCUGCCAAAAUAAAAGAAAAAAUAAUGACUAGUGCUAAACACACUCAAGUUAAAUCGUUCAACAUUAAUAAAUUGACUUCCUUUUGAAAGAUGGCCUAAUUAAAUUAACCGAAGACCGUGUAAUUCCAAAUAAAGAUUUAGUAAACACAAAAAUAUUGCAAGUGGCACCAUUUAUGGAGCCAUAACACUGUUAAUUGUGUUGUUUUCAAGAGUUCAAUUUAGUAGGAAAAAGUCAAAUUUGCCGAAUGAUUGGUGACCUUUAAUAAUUUAAUUGAAAAAAUCUGAUGGUUGAUGAAUUAUUCAAUUCUUAAAAAAGGGCAUAUGUCGACAUAAAAAAAAAUGAUCACACUUUUGGUUAUUAUUGACAAAUGGCAAACUUGGUCGAUGGAGACACUUUAUAAAAAAAAAUUAACAAACUUGAAGAAUAGGUAACUUGCUUGUGGAGUCAUUGACCACACACAGCAUGAAAGUUAUCGAUUAGAGCUUUCAUCAAGACUUGAGAAAUGGAUUGACAAAGUCAUAAGCAAUGAGCAAUCAACAUAAGAAUAUAACUGUUCGCUGAUUAUAUCUAUUGCCACUAACUUAGGAUUUUUGUUUCUUGCAUAUAAGUGUUGCCUGUAGAUAAGCGUUGCAUAGAGUAACUUCUUUAAUAUAAUUAAAAAGUUUUCUUUAUUUGAAUUUAAAAAGUGUUGUUUUAAACCGUCGAUGAUGAGCUACAAAAAUAUCCACGUUGUACUCUUGUAAGGAAUCCUUAUUAAUCAAUCAACGCAUUUGAGUCCUUUUGUAAAUUUAUUUUAAUCUUAUAUAAUCGGUUGCAAUUGCCUCCAAUUUCCAUACCUCUGGAUCAAAGAUGAGAUUUAUAUCUAACGUAAUCAUUUAGGGGUUGCCUAUGACACGACAGGCUCUUGCAAAAGCAGAGAGAAGGGUCCGUAGCUAAUGCUGCUCGUAUUCACAUCGGUGCAGCUUAAGUCAAGAAGGAAUCGUCAAAUAAAAUAUUUAAGAUGUAUUCAGAAUUUUUCUUGUCAAUAUAAAUUCAACUUUAAAUAAUCUAGCUAGUCGGUAAACAAGUUUAUACUACCUAAUUAAAUUAAAACUGAAAUGGAAUGUGCCGUGGAAUUAUCUUAGGAUCGAUCGCCACGAGCUCUUCAACUAGAUCAAGAGUUCAAUCAUGGUGGCGAGAGUUACUCUGGCCAAAGUUAUGACAUCUCAGAUUUUCAGUCCUGUUUUCAACUGAAUAAAUCGGACAUUUCAUUGACGCGCCUAUAGGACUAUUAUCAGAACUGAUCACUCUUGAGAUAAAUAGAUUAUUUGGAAAAGCCAUUAAAGAAUUUUAAUGCAAUAGACUUGAGAAUUCGAACAGGGAUCGGUUACUUGACCGUGCUUAUCUGCCGAGAUCAUUACGGCAUAGAUAUAAAUCGAUUAGAGAUAAGAUAUAGGUAUGUUCGACUGAGAUAUGUGGCUAAUUGUGAAUGAUACCACUAAAUUGGAAAAUUCUUAUCGACUGGCUCUAGACUGAUUCUUUUGUCGUUUUGGUACCACGUGUCUGUAAUUGAAUCCUCGAGAUUUUCACGAUAACUGAGAGUCGCCAUUGAUUCAAGUGGGUUCAUUGUGGCUCAGAAAAAAUCGAUCACGGGUCAUUUGCACUAAAAAUUUCUGAAAACUACUUGGUAGCCUAGGUCACGCUAAAAAAGCGCCGAAUGGAAAUUAACCGCGAAUUCAAGUCCGAUUUCAGAAAUGGAAGAUCCUAUCGUGUUACAAUAAAUUCUAAGAACGUCAACUCAGCCUUAGAAGAUUUUUUUGACAACCAAGACUUUUUGAGAAAAAGUCGGCAUAUGAUCGUUUUUGUUCAAUUAAGGCUAGAGAUUAUUUUUGGUCACAAAAUUGAGAUACAAUAUAGAUUCUUCGGUUAAGAAAAUUAUCAAUUUGAUAAUUGGGGUACCAAUUGAAUUUGUAAAGGCCAUAUGGGAUUGAAUGGAAGAGGAAAUCAAGACCAAUUGAAGCCAUUUCCUUCAAAAUUCGUAGCUCCCCCAUGCCCUAGCUAAAUUGGACCAUCUCAAGGGUUGUGAGGAGAGUGUGUGUGGUUAAAUGAGAGCCAAGGAAGGGUGGGUGGUGUAGGAUGAAUCUUGGGGGAUAAGUUGUAGAAAAAUUGGCCAUGGUGGCCCCAACCUUAUCCCUUCUCUCUUAUCCUCUCACUCUCUCUCUCUCCUUGGCCAGCCAAACCCUCACCAUUUCCUCUCCAUUUUCAAAAACCCUUAAGCCAGCAAAAAGACAGCGGAAGGAGCAGCCACCGAACACCUGGACGCCAUCGCCACCGCAUACCGCCACUGUUUCCAUGAGCCACCGCCCGCGUGAGCCACCGUCUGUGCCUGACCAUCCUUGCCCGCCUCCCUCACACCUCUCAGCUGCUGUUUUGGAUCUGUUGCAGCUCACCCGAAGCUGUCCCGGCCCCGUUCGACCUCCGUGAGUCAACAUUUAGGCCCGGUUUGGCCUAUUUCCUCAUUCCCGAUCAAUUCCCGCCUAAACCAAGCUAAUUUUCCCUCAUUUCCAGCCAAGAACAGCAACAAAAGUUGUGGGUUUCCAGCCGCCUUUGGAGGCUGUUUUGAGGUGUUUUCGGGCCUUGAACCUUAGGCCCGCUUUGGAGAAAAACGUCCCCCAUGACGUUCCCAAUGUUUCAAUCCGUGCUAAUUGUUAAACGAGUGAGUUUUGCUCACUAAUCCUUACUUAGUAAGGCUAAUGAUUCUUAGAGGUUGUUUAGAUUUGUCGCGACCAAAUUUUUGGGUUUGAAUCACUUAGAGUUUUGGCUAAUGGAUUGUUAAGCUUAGGCUUAACUCGGGCUCUCCCAAGCCUAUACCAAUUCGCGACUUAGGUUCAAGUUUUUUAACAUACAGAUAGAUUUUAUCUAGGAGUCGCCACUAAUCUAUUUUUAGUGGGUCGAUUAGAAACCCAAAUAAAGUAACGGGAGUUUUACUUUACUCUUAUGAACCAGAGACCAAGGGUACGGGGACUUGAUUACGCUAGAUUUCUCUAACGCCCUUUCGGUACCUUUCUUUUUAUUUUGAAAAAUGUUUGGCAAGCAGUUUUGAUUGAUUUUAAAUUUAUUUCCUUAACAUAUGAGGUGAUCAUGUGGGUGCACAAUCCACCAAUUUAACACCCAAAUAAAUAACAAAUAAAUUGCAAAAAAACUUACCUCCAAGCAACGCAAGCAUCUGCGUUGUUAGAUCAGAAUUCAUAUCAACGGUCCUAGGUAUGAUUUCUAAUUAAUAGACAAUUUUCCUUUUUUUUUUGUUUUCACUUAUUUAAUGAAAAUCAUGCAAUAUGCAAUGCAAUAUAACUAAAUAAUCUAAUUAUAAUGUCAAGCAAUUUCUAAUUAAAUGGACCUAAUAACAAUCUCUAAAUGACGUGCAUUUCAUGAAUCUAAUCCUAUAUGACAUUUACAUGACAUUUUUCAUUUUUCCUAAAAAAUGCAAUUUAUCCUAAAGAAUGAAACUAAUUUAUUCUAAGACAUUUUUUUGUAUUUUUCAUGAAAUUCGGAAUUAGGAAAAAUGUGAAAAUUAUCUAACUAGAUUAAGAUUCUAUUUAAUUUGCAUUAGAAAUUAAGUUAAGCCAAAUCCUAAUUUAAACUAAAAUAUUAUCUUAACACAAAUAAUCCUAAAAUGCAAUCUAUCUAAUAUCUAAACUUAAAAUGAAACAUGAAAUUUUAUUCUAAUAUGCAAUGACUUGCAAAGAAUGCAUUAAUUCUACAUGACAUAUGCAUGAUCAUUUUUGCUUUUUUGAUCAAAAUUCGAAAUUAAGAUUGGCAAAUAAUUAACAUACAAUUUAAAUCAGUGAAACGAAAAUCUAACAUCCUAAAUUUAUGUUUUUGGUAUUUUUAUUUAAGAAAUUCGAAAUAAAUAAAUUUCCUAUUCUAGACAUGCAAAAUAACCCUAAAACAAGUAAUAUCCUAAGAUGCAUCUAAUCUAACUCAAAUGUUUUUUUUUUUCCUUUUAUGGGAGCAAACAAAUAAAGGACAACACGGCAACAAAUCCAGCAAAUUAUCAUCGGAUUGGCCAAUUUUAGACAAAAUCACGAAUCGUAUCUCGAGCGUAAGAUCGGAUUGGUGAUUUUUCCGUGCGAUUGCGAGUCGUAUUUUGAGCAUGAAAUUGGACCAUCAAUCAUGUGCACAUUGUGAAAUUAGGAAGAUUUCCUAAUUUAGAAGGCUAAUCGAGAUUUCACAUAUCUUAGCAUAUCGAAAUUUCCAUCAUGGGCAUCAACGAAUAUAUCAAAUAAGGAAAUGAAAUUUUUCGAAAAUCAAAAUAGAUAAGAUUUUUACCUAAUUCGAAUAUUGGCUUCCGAAUUCCAAUCCUCAAACGGCUACUCGUGACCCGAUGUGGUGGUUCUUAGCGGGGUUCACGGGAUGGCUACUCGCCAGGGGGCUUUGCGUGCGGCUCCUUGAUGAUUGCUCGAUUCAACGAUAUGCGCGUGAACCUGAGAAGCAAUCUGCAAAACGAUAACUUUUGUUGUCACAGCAGUAGCAAAGCUUGCCGAGAGAUCUAGAGAACCACAAUGGGGAGAUGCUCCAAAUUUCAAUAAAAUAAGUGUGCGAAAUCGUCCAUCCUUUCAAUGUACACGUCCUCCUUUGCUGAAAGGACGUGUGCCCUUCUCUUGUGUGACCAUGCAUUAAGUGGAAUUUUGCCAUGACUCCCUGAACUUGACCCCCGCCGCUUUGUUAAACGAAGGUGGUCUUGAACUCAGCCCAGAAUUUCUUGAAGCGUCGAUGACCGCUGGACUGAAAGAUCGUUGAAAUUGCUACGGCGUCUUGCUUGGAGGCUGCAAAGGUCGUCGAAGGCUGACGUGUCGUUGUAGCAGAGACAAAUAAAACUGCAGAGUUAUUGCUUAAAACUCGCCCGGAAACCAAGACUGGAACUCGCGUUGAGGAUCUCCGUGAAGAUGCUAAAGUUGUUGAAGAAUUUGCGAGCGUAAUGUACCCAGUGUGUUUUCGGCUUCUCCCCUAGAAGUUUUCUUCCUGGUUAGUGUGUAGUCAAGAGAAAAUAAAUAAAUAAAAUAAAAACUCAAAUUAGAGGCAUGAAUCCGAAGCAAUUCAUGGGAUCAUGGCGGUGGCUCGUGAUUGAAGGACAGUGGAUUGAACGGUGAUGCUCGGUCAUGGAAGGUUGGGGCUAGUAAACGGUGCAGGGCCUUCUUGGUUCGGAACAGAUCAGCAAGACAGGGAUGGCGUCAACAAGGCAACAGCUGGACAACAGAUCAACGCGUGGUCUCGCGGCAGCAGCGAUGGCGGCGAUCGGGUAAUAGUCGGAACAGCAACUACAAGGGUCGGAGCUGCAGUGACGUCAUCAAUGAAGGGGCUGCGGUGGCAUCGUCGAGCGAUCGAGUAAUAACUCAACAGGAUGGCAGCUCGUUGACAAUGUAUCGGGGACGACAAAAGCACCGCGGCAGAAGCAUCGACGUGGGUCUUGGUCAAGAAUUGGCCAAGAAAACUCACUCCCUCCUCUCUCACGUCUCUCAAUUGUGAAGCCCCACUCACGUUUUACUCUCAAUGGCCGUAUGUGUCAACGUUUGGCCCCCUCUAAAACCCUACGAGUAUUAAUCUAUUUAUAGGCCACAGUUUAGGAUUAGGAUUAGGUUUUUUUUUUUUUAAUUUUCCAAAAUCAUAUCCACAAAAAUUUCUUUUCCAAAUGCAAUAUUUGCCUUUCCAAACGCAAUAUUUGCUUUUGAAUUGAAAUCUCAUAAAGAUAAAUCCGUAAAAUCUCCCCAAGGAUACGGGCCUGGGCCAAUUUGUUCUCUUCGAGGGCUUAGCCUGACUUAUCAAAUUAAAGUUUCUGAAGCAUCAAUUCGAACCCAUCCGUCACCAGCCCAAUAUAAAUGCAAAUUAAAAAUAAAUACAUCUAAAACUAUAUGCUAUACAAUUAACUAUUUUUUCAGGGAUAACCUGCUAAAUUGAUCGAUCCUCCCUUGGAACUGCAUAUUAAACCCAUUCCAACAGUUCUAGCCAAGUAACGAAAGAUCCACUUAACAGCUUCCCAAUGCUCCUUACCCGGAUUGCUCAUGUAUCGGCUGACGAGACUCACCGCAUGAGCCAAAUCUGGUCUGCUACAAACCAUAGCAUACAUGAUGCUCCCUACUGCGCUGGCAUAGAGUACUCGAGACAUCUUUACAACUUCCUCAUGUGAAAUAGGGCAUUGUUUCUCAGAUAAUUUGAAGUGAUUUGCUAAGGGUGUACUAACCGGUUUAACUUUACCCAUGUUGAACCGCUCCAAGACCUUCUCAACAUACUUUUUUUUAUUUACCCAAAGCUUACUUGCAUGUCUAUCUCGAAAGAUUUCCAUGCCAAGGAUCCUCUUUACAACACCAAGAUCCUUCAUAUCAAACUCACUACUUAACUGAGACUUUAGGGAAAUAAUGUCUCUCAUUUUUCUUGUAGCAAUCAACAUGUCAUCAACAUAGAGCAUCAAUAGAAUAAGCGACUUAUCAUCCAAAACUUUGUAGUCGACACAAGAAUCAUGCACACUCCUCAUGUAGCCAAUAUGAAGCAUAAAAGAAUCAAACCUUUUAUUCCAUUGCCUCGGAGAUUGCUUCAAACCAUAAAGUGAUCUCUUGAGCAAACAAACACGAUCCUCUUUUCCUUCCACCUUGAAGCCUUCGGGCUGCUCCAUAUAGAUUUUCUCCUCCAAGUCACCAUGAAGGAAUGCCGUCUUCACAUCUAGCUGCUCAAGCUCCAAGUCAUACAUGGCUACCAUAGCUAGUAAAACACGAAUUGAUGUGUGUUUUACAACAGGGGAAAAUAUCUCAUCGUAAUCAAUCCCCUUCUUCUGUGCAUAGCCCUUAGCAACAAGUCGAGCCUUGUAUCUCUCUUGCUCUUUCUCCAUUGCUGCUUCCUUUCUUCGAAGAACCCAUUUGCAACCAAUGACAUUCCGAUCAUUGGGCUUCUUUACAAGUUCCCAUGUCUCAUUCUUUUGUAACGAUUCCAUCUCCUCCAUCAUUGCGGUCAUCCACUUUUUUUUGUGAUCACUUUUCAAAGUUUCAUGGUAGAAGCCUGGAUCGCCAGAGCCUACGGUAAGAGCAUAAGCAACCAUAUCCUCAAAAUUGUACCUCUCCGGUGCUUUGGGAGUGCGCCUUCCUCGACCCGUUGCAAUGGUACGAGGAACUUCUACCGUUUCUUUGACUUCUAGAGCUUCAUCGGAUGACUCGCCAUUCUCUGCAGAUUCUUUGGUUUCAAGCUCCAUAUUAACGAUAGAUUUAUCACUCUCCUCUUCAGCAGCCACGUGUGGCAUGCAGCUUGACUUCAACAUUGCAGAUUCAUCGAAUAUAACAUCCCUGCUCGUCAGAACUUUCUUCUCACUUGGAUCCCAUAAUUUGUAGCCUUUCACUCCUUUCUCGUAACUGAGAAAUAUGCAUUGUUUUGAUUUUGGAUCCAAUUUCGAGCGUUUCGAGCUCUGCACAUGUACAAAAGCAGGACAACCGAAUAUUCUUAAAUUAGAAUAAUCGACAAUUUUACCAGUCCAUACCUCUUCAACAAUUUUGCAUUUAAUUGCAGUUGAUGGAGACCGAUUCACAAGAUAACAUGCCAUGUAGAUAGCUUCUGCCCAAAACUCCUUGCUCAGUCCCGCAUGUAGCCUCAUGCUUCGAGCUCUCUCUAAUAAGGUCCGAUUCAUCCUUUCCGCUACGCCAUUCUGUUGGGGCAUAUCCGGAACUGUGAAGUGACGUUUAAUCCCUUCAUUCUUGCAAAGCUCCAUGAAUGGUGUCGAUUUGUACUCUCCUCCAUUGUCUGAUCUCAAGCACUUAACCUUCUUCCCCAUUGAAGUCUCAACUUCAGCUUUCCAUUCUUUGAACUUUUCAAAGACUUCACUUUUGUGUCGCAUGAAGUAGACCCAAACUUUGCGAGAGAAAUCGUCAAUGAAUGUCACGAAGUAUUCCUUCACUCCUUUUGACUUUACCGGUGAAGGACCCCAUACAUCAGUGUGUACAUACUCGAGCACACCCUUGCUUGUAUGAGUUGCAGCAUUGAACCGUACUCUGCAUUGUUUUCCAAACACAUAAAAUUUGCAGAAAUCUAAUUUGUAUGUUUUUAUACCUUUGAGUGCAUUCCUCUUGUGAAGCUCCAGCAAUCCUUUUUCUCCCAUAUGCCCGAGACGCAUAUGCCAUAGAUAGGUGUUAUCUAUCUCCAUGCUAGCAUCCGUGGACAUAGAUGCUCCACCUUGCACUAUGGUUCCUAUAAGUCGAUAUAGGUUCCCGUGCCUCUGUCCCUUAAGAACAACUAGAGCUCCCUUAAUCACCUUCAAGACUCCACCUUGAGCCGUGUACUUGCAUCCAUUGGAUUCAAGUGCUCCCAAUGAGAUCAAAUUCUUCCUUAGACCUGGAACAUGAUGUACGUCUACCAAGGUUCUAAUCAUGCCAUCAAACAUCUUGAUUUUCACGGUUCCAACACCCACAGUCUUGCACGAAGUAUCAUUACCCAUGAGAACUGAACCACCAUCAUAUGCCUUGUACUCAUCGAAGGCUUCUUGAUGGGGACACAUGUGAAAAGUGCAUCCAGAGUCCAUGAUCCACAAAUCUUCAAAGGUGUCCUUCCCCGACGAUAUGGACAAGACGUCCCCAUCAUUGGUCUCAAUGCUAUCGGCUAUACUUGCCUCAUCCGAGCUCUUCUUCUUUUUCUCGUUCUUAUUUGGACAGAAUCUCUUGGUAUGCCCUUCCUGAUUACACCCAUAGCAUCUUCCUUUGAACCUUCCCUUGGAUUUUGAUCAACCCCUACCGCUCAAUCCUCGAUCCGUUGAUCUUCCUCUUCCUUGAUUGUUUUUCUCCUUUGCAAAGAGUCCCUCUCCCGAAGAUUUUGAAGUACUUGCCAUUUUCUGAGUGUCCUUUGAAAUUAGGGCAGUAGUCACCUCUCCGAUCUCCAGGGUUUCCUUGCCAUAAAGAAGCGUAGUCACCAAGUGGUCAAACGAAUCCGGCAACGAUGCCAGUAGUAGAAGCACUAUGUCUUCAUCCUCAAACUUUACCUCCAAACUUGUAAGUUCACUAAUCAUCUUAUUGAACACGUUAAGGUGUUCCAACAGAUCUCCUCCUUCACUCAUCUGAAGUGAAUACAAUCUCUUCUUCAAGAACAACUUGUUCGUAAGAGAUUUCGUCAUAUAAAUGUUUUCGAGUUUGAGCCAUACCUCCAGAGCAGAUUCGAUUUUCGCUACAUAUUGAAGGGCCUCAUUCGAUAGGUUCAAUCGGAUUGCACUGCACGCCCUCUCCUCCAUGUCAGCCCAAUCAUCAUCAGUGAUGGUGUUCGGCUUGUUUGAUCUUCCCAGAAGAAUCUUUGAUAAACCUUGUUGAAUCAACAGAUCCUUCAUCCUUCUCUGCCAUAGUGUAAAACUAUUCUUCCUAGUGAAUCGUUCACUAUUAAAUCGAACGGUUGAACCUUUUCUAGCCAUCUAGUUAGAAGUUGCAAUACAGGAACGAAGAACCUGGAUUGCUCUGAUACCAAUUGUUGUGCGGAAGAACACCCUAACUAGAUGAGAAAAGUAAACAAGAAUAAUUAAGAACACAGAGAUUUACGUGGUUCGGCGAAAGAUCCGCCUACAUCCACGGGAGAGAGAGACGAUUUCUUAUUUGAGCGUAUCACAAGAGUACAAGGUAUAAUGCUGAAAGUAAAUAGAUCUCCCCACUUUCCUAAACCUAGUAGGAAAGGAAUUCCAUCAUAAAGAUAUUAUCAAAUUUAAAACCCAAAUCUAGGGAAUAUAUUAGGAAACAAAUAGCUUGCAAUCUUCAAGUCUUCCUAGAUUUCCCGAUUGAAUUUUGUGGAAUUCAAGACAAUAUCAACAGUAGUCUCAUCCUAGUUGUGGGACAACAUUUCAGGUCCCUAGAUGCAGCAGACUUGGAUUUUGAAGAUCUCGAAAGUCUGGUGUAGUCUGCUGAAGGCUCCAGUUGGAGUGUGGAGGAUGAUGAAGAGGAGGACGAGUACCCGUAGUUUGUGAAACCCCCACCUCUGCUUGUAGACCUUGAUUCUAAACUUGUUUAAGUUGAAUCCGGCGUAGUAGUCUGCCAUAUAUACAUGUGCACUGGUUUGCAAUGUAUAUAAGUGUGGUUGUUUUUGAAAGUUCGGAAUUUAGUCAUACUUUCUUAUCCCAUUGUUUUAUUGUCUAGGGAUUAUUUAUAUGUUUCCGCAUGCUUAUUAAAAAGAAAGGGUCGGCGAUGUGUCCUAGGAUGUCGCUAUUAAUCGACCAAGAUGAGGGAUGGGUGCAUGCCCAAGGAUUGGGGAGUGACAAAAGUAGUGGAGCAGUUGAGGUCACUCUCCGGGACAUGGUUUCCUUCCUUGUUAAUCACAAGAGGAAAGAAAAUGAAGAAGUCAUAAAGGAGAAAGUUUGCCGGUGCCAUUUGGUUGAAGAAAAUGGAGGGACUAAAGAGGAAAGCGGAAAGUGCGAAAUAAUUGAAGAAUAACCCAUAAAUAUCAACUGUGAUGGUAUUUUCCAAUUGAUUUUAAUUUAGAUUAUCAUAAAGAUAGUGAUUAUUGAGGAUGAAGUGAUUGUAUGAAGUUACUGCAUGAUCAUCCAAAUCAUUAACUAUGUGGGUCAAAUGGUAAAAUCAAAUGAUCAGCGGUCUAGAUGAACUUGAUUUACAUGGGCUAUCGACCAUGCCACUUUUUCUCGUGAUCAAUAUUCAUACCAUGCCCGGCAACAUAAUUUGCUUUAUGUAGUUAUAUCACGUCAAGGACACAUAAUCUGACACUAAUGUUUUCUCAUGGUUUGCACCUUCCACGGAGUCUCGUGUUUGCUUGGGUUGGCUGAAAACAAUAUUUGUCCGGGCUUGGAUUCCUCUAGUCCUCCUCUGUUGCACCCACGCAAACCGAUUAAUCACUAGAGUCGCAUGGGUCCGUGCUCCUAGGAUGGCCACAAGAAAAUGCGCACUUACGGUGAUUCGAAUCAAAUUGAUCAGCGGUAAAGGAGAAAUGAGGUUGAUGUUCGUCUUUUUCCUAGGAGCCCGGCAAGCUCUGCAAAAGAAAAACAAGCUUAGAAAAGGUUCCCAGUAGCAGACGGUCGCAUCCGCAUCGUGCGGCGGGAAUCAAGGAGAGGGCGUAAGCAUUCUGAAAUGGGACUAAUUUACACCGAGAUGCGAUCGACGAGUAACACGAUCGCGGGGGGUUGGUCGAUCUGAUUUUUAACAUUUGCCACUGCCCUCAAAAGAAAAGGGGAAGGGAUGGGGCACCGUCGGGGCAAGAAACAAAAGUCGACGAAGAUUUGGACUAGGAACAGUCCAGGAACCAGCUCAAAUACCAUGUCCCCCAUAGAUUGAACUGAAGAGAAUGGAGACCCCAACUUAGACCGACUUCAAGAACACCGUCGCGGUGGCAAAGGCUGUGCUGUCUGCAGCAGCCUCCGUGACGGCCACUGUGAUGGUGGUGCAGUCGGUGGUUCGACCACUUGUGCCCACGAAUUUCAGGAUUUUCUCUUCUCCGAGAUCCGCAGCUUCCUGUCUCGCUUCUCCAACAAAAUGACCAUGGUUGUCGAAGACUACGACGAUUACGCCCAAAAUGAGCUCUUUCAGGCGGCCCGGGUCUUCUUGGCUGGCAAACAAUCCCUAUUGGUGCGGCGAGUUAGAGUGACCAAGCCCAUGAAGGAGAACCAACUCACCCUGGCUAUGGACCGGAAUCAAGUGCUGGUAGAUGUUAAGAACAGCAAGAACAGAAGCUCUACUGACGCUAUAACUGAUAUCAAUAAGAACAUGGGCAGUAAGAAUAGGGGUAGUAAUAUAUACAAGAGCAACAAAGAGUAAACAUAUGAAGAAGAGGAAGUAGAGAAUAUAAAUGCUGCUGAGAAGAAUUAGAAGAAAACCUGUUUCGAACACUCUGUAUAAUGCUGCAAGUCUUGGCAAGUCUCGGCAGUUAGUUUGGUGUACUUCAGUUUUGGAAGUUAGUUUUUUGCUUCUGUUAGUUAGUUAUCUUUUCUUCAACUGUUCAAUACCUGUAAAUCAGUUUCCAGAGAUAGCCAUUGUAUAUAAAAGGCUAACUCUCGUGAUUGAAAGAGAUACAAGAAAAUAAUAGAAAGAAGUUUUCCAUCUCAAUAUCUCUCUACUGUUCCUUCAUCCCAAGAUUUCCAAUUUCUUCUGUGCGCAUAAACUUCUUCAUGGUAUCAGAGCUGUUGCAUCCUGAAGAAAUCAUCUUGAUGCUGCAGAAAAUAGUUAAAUCUACAUUAGAUCGAAGUUAGAUUUGAAGCUUCAUUGAUCUCUAAAGAUAUCUGUAUCUUCCAACAAGAUCUGUAAGUUGGUACUUUUCAUCCACAUCUAAAUCUUCAUCAGCAAUAUACUUGUUGCAGCGUACUACAAACUAGUAGAAUUUGUGUCUGCAACUAGAGUUGAUCAAAGAUCAAGAAGAAUAGAAUGGCAGCAAGAAGUUUGAGAUAUCCAUUUCCUAUUCAUGUUAAUAUCUCGAAAUUUGUUUGGUUUUGUGAAUGGGGAAAUUUCACCACCUGUAAAGACAUUGCAGGUCGAAGAAGGAGGUCAAACUUCUGAGGUUCCUAAUCCUGAUUAUAAUGACUGGAUAAAAACAAAUCAGCUUGUAUCUUCUUGGAUUAGCGGUGUUGUAUCAGAAAAUAUACUCAGCUUGAUAAUUGGCUUAAAUACUGCUUAUGAAGUUUGGCAAACUCUGCUAAAUCGGUUCACACAAAAGUCAGUAGCUAAGGAGUUCGAGUUAAGAGGAAAACUGCAGGCUUGCCAGAAACGUGAACGAACAUUAUCAGCAUACCUCAAGGAGUACAAGUCAAUAUGUGAUCAAUUGAAUGCCAUAGGAAAACCAGUUGAUGAAAUCACAAAACUAUUUGGAAUUCUAUAAGGCCUGAGAUUUGAGUAUGAAAGUUUUAAAACUACAAUCUAUUGCUUAAAGCCCCAACCAUAAUAUGAUGAAGUAAUCUCACACUUAGAAAGAUUCGAAGCUACGUUACAGAAUUAUUCUUUAAAUCAGUUCAGUCCUAACCUAGCUUACUAUGGCUAGAGGAAAACUGAAGCUAUACAUAAAGAAGAGGCUGACAGAGAAUAUAUACAACAGAAUACUAUUCUUAGAGGAUCAAGAACAAAUAAUCGUGGAGGAAGAGAUUAUGGAAGAGGAAGAACAUAUAAUGCUAGAUACAAGAACUUUGGUUAUCCUGGAAGAAACAUGAGUUACAGAAAUAAUAACUUAAACUAUGAACAAGAAAAUCAGCAGUUCAAACAACUCAAUACCUCCUCUGGCUUGGGUCCUGUUCAAGGAUUUAGACCAUACAAUGUAUCGGCACAAAGGAAUUCUGAUACCAGGUCAUAUCCUGCAUCAAAUUCAACUCUUCACAAAAAGGUGCAGAUGGAGAAAGCAGCAGAACACACUCGACUUGAGUGUCAAAUCUGUAAGAGGCCGGGUUAUGAUGCCUUACAUUGUUGGUAUCGGUUUGAUAACUCCUAUCAAGUUGAGGAGAUACCAACAACACUAGCAUCACUAUAUAUUGAGGAGGCAAAUGAUCAAGAAUGGUUUCCAGACACUGGAGCAACAGCCCAUAUUACCUCUAAUGCUGGUAUACUUCAUAGUCUUUCUAAAAAUAACAAUGUUGAUACAGUCAUGAUAAGCAAUGGUAUGUGUUUACCUGUCAAAUACAUUGGUAAUGCAAUACUGAAUACUGCAAUUGAUGCCUUGCCUCUCAAUGAUGUGCUGAUUGUUCCUGAGAUUAAAAAAAAUCUUCUGUCAAUGUCAAAGUUAACUGAUGAUUACCCAUGUUCCUUUAUCUUUAACAAAACUGGUGUGUAUAUCAAGGACAUCACCACCAACACAACCAUGAGGCUAGGAAGGAAGGUUAGAGGGUUGUACAGAGUAGACCCUCAUGUUGCAGAAGUCUACUUCACUCAAAGACAAAUAAUUGUUGCAGAAAGUAUCUGGCAUCAACGAUUGGCUCAUACAAAUUAGAAUAUCUUGAAGCAUUUGAGGAAUCAAAAUCUGAUUCAAUACAACAAAGAACCACAGUCUGUAUGUAGAAGCUGCCAAAUAGCUAAGAGUACUGCUCUACCUUUUCCAUUAUCAAAUUCUACAGCUACAAAACCUCUAGAACAAAUUCACUGUGAUAUUUGGGGACCUUCUCCAGUUAAAUCUUUUCAGAGUUUCAAGUAGUCAUUUUUGUUGACAAUUUCUCUCGGUUCAGUUGGAUAUAUCCAUUAAAGUUGAAGUCAGAUUUCUAUAGUAUUUUUCUCAUGUUUCAAAAGUUAGUAGAAAAUCAGCAUAGCUGUAAAAUCAAGACUUUCCAGUGUGAUGGUGGAGGAGAGUUUAUUAGCCAAAAAUUCAAAACUCACUUACAGAACUGUGGCAUUCAACAACAUAUCUCAUGUCCAUAUACACCUGAGCAUAAUGGAAUACCUGAAAGGUAACAUCAACAUAUAGUUGAACUUGGUUUGGCUAUGCUAUACCAUGCAAAAAUUCCAUUAAAGUUUUGGGUAGAUGCAUUUGUAACAGCCAACUACAUUGUUAACAUUCUUCCUACUUAAAAAUUACAGAUGCAAUCUCCCUUCAGCAAAUUAUAUCAGCAUAAGCCAAGAUAUGACCAUCUCAGAACCUUUGGCUAUGCUUGCUAUCCCUGUCUUCAACCAUAUGCACAGCACAAGCUUGAUCCACGGUCACUAACCUGUGUCUUUCUAGGACAUAGUGAUCACUAUAAGGGAUAUCGAUGUCUUAUCCCUACUACUGGUCGUGUCUACAUUAGUCGACAUGUAGUAUUUUAUGGGAAUUUCUUCCCUUUCUCUCAGAAAUUAGCAACGGUUUAUCCUUCCUACACACAUUUGUAUAAGUUGUGGAUAGAAGAAGAGCAGUUCCUAGCUUCCUCCACUACAGAUCACAUAAAACAUUUAACUUCUCAGUACACAGGUUGGGAACAAGAAUCCACAGCUAAGCAAACAAAUGAAAUGGUCUUACCUAAAUGCAUAGAACAAGUAGUUUCUAUUUCUCCAGUUGAAUUUCCUAUGGAUCAAGUGUCCACCACUACUCAGAAUAGUCCACAACGAGUUGAAAUACAUGUUCCCAUAACUGAGACAACAAAUGGACCAGAUAUGGAACAACACACUUCAAAUAAUCAGACAAAUUCACAAGGUACAUUACCUACACACCCUAUGCAGACUAGGUCUAAGUCUGGCAUUAUCAAGACCAAUCCUCGAUAUACAUGUCUUGCUAUAUAUGAAGUACCUACUGAACCAGAAACAAUCAAAUCAGCCUUAGCACAUAAAGGCUGGUAUAAAGCAAUGACAGAAGAGAUGGAUGCACUUUAUCAGAAUAAAACUUGGGAAUUAAUCCCUCGAACUGGUCAAAUAAAUGUCAUUGGCUGUAAGUGGGUAUUUAAAACAAAGCUUGCAGUAGAUGGUAGCCUUGAUAGACUUAAGGCUCGAAUGGUUGCUAAAGGAUUUCAUCAGGAAGAAGGCAUUGACUUUACAAAAACUUUUAGUCCAGUCAUCAAACAUGCUACAAUUCGUAUAGUUUUAUCUGUAACCAUGAUGAAACACUAGCCAAUCCAUCAACUAGAUGUCAAAAAUGCAUUCUUACAUGGUACAUUGAAUGAGAUAGUUUACAUGGAGCAGCCUCCUAGUUUUCAAGAUCCCAAGAAACCUCAUCAUGUAUGUCUCCUCAGGAAGUCUCUCUAUGGACUUCGACAAGCUCCUCGAGCCUGGUUUGACAAGUUCAGCAACUUUCUACUUGAAUAUGGGUUCUUUUGCAGCUCAACUGACCCAUCCUUAUUCAUCUAUCAUACUGAUAUAGACACCAUUCUUCUACUACUAUAUGUUGAUGACAUUAUCCUGACUAGAAGCUCCUCUCAGUUACUUUCCAACCUUAUCCAUUCUCUAAGUCUUCAGUUCUAUAUGAAAGACCUUGGCCCACUACAUUACUUUCUUGGCAUUGAAGUUAAAAAUACUUUUGAUCACCUGUUUCUUUGCCAUACUAAAUAUGCCAGUGAUCUUCUUACUCGAGCUCAUAUGCUUGAGUGCAAACCAAUUACCACCCCUAUAUCACUAAAACCAAUUGUUCUGAUAAAUGAUUCUACUCCCCUCUCCAAUCCUGUCGAGUAUUGAAGCUUAGUAGGUGGCCUUCAGUAUCUAACUUUAACAAGACCUGACAUUGCAUAUGCUACAAAUCAGCUAUGUCAGAAAUUACAGAAACCCACUAUUGCAGACUUACAUAAACUCAAGAGAGUUUUGAGAUAUGUCAAAGGCACUAUAAGUCUUGGAGUCUUCAUGCACUCUUGAAGCUCUCUCCACCUGUAUGGGUUCUCAGAUGCAGAUUGGGCAGGAUGUGUUGAAACAAGAAGAUCAACAACAGGUUUUUGUACAUACCUUGGCUCCAAUCUCAUAUCUUGGGCAGUAAAGAAUCAAUCCACAGUCAGUCGAUCCUCUACAGAAGCUGAGUAUCGUGCUCUUGCUUCUACAUCUGCUGAACUUACCUGGAUUAGCUUUGUCCUUCGUGAUAUAGGAUGCUCAUUGACUCGUCCAACACAGCUCUUUUGUGACAAUAAAUUAGUCAUUUCUCUUACUAUCAAUCCUGUCUUACAUGCUCGCACCAAACACAUUGAGAUUGACUUUCAUUUUGUUAGGGAAAAAGUCUCCUCAUGGUCACUACAAGUGAAAUAUGUUCCAAGUAACUAUCAACUUGCCGAUAUAUUCACAAAAUCUCUUCCUCGUAUUACACACUAUCAGCUACGAAUCAAAUUAGGAAUUGGUUUCUCACCCAUUCCCAAUUUGAGGGGGAAUGUUAAGAACAACAAGAACAGAAGCUCUACCGAUGCUAUUAUUGAUAUCAGUAAGAACAGGGGCAGUAAGAACAGGGGAAGUAAUAUAUACAAGAGCAACGAAGAGAAAACAUAUGAAGAAGAGGAAGUAGAGAAUAUAAAUGCUGCUGAGAAGAAUUAGAAGAAAACCUGUUUCGAACACUCUGUAUAAUGCUACAAGUCUUGGCAAGUCUCGGCAGUUAGUUUGGUGUACUUCAAUUUUGGAAGGAAGUUAGUUUUUUGCUUCUGUUAGUUAGUUAUCUUUUCUUCAACUGUUCAAUACCUGUAAAUCAGUUUCCAGAGAUAGCCAUUGUAUAUAAAAGGCUAACUCUCGUGAUUGAAAGAGAUACAAGAAAAUAAUAGAAAGAAGUUUUCCAUCUCAAUAUCUCUCUACUGUUCCUUCAUCCCAAGAUUUCCUAUUUCUUCUGUGCGCAUAAGCUUCUUCAUUAGAUACGUUUUGCGGGAUCAAACUCAAGUGGGUUCUCAUGUCGAGACAAGUCAACUCAGGCUACCAAGUUCCUGAGGGCCGGAACCCGAUGGCUGAGCACGAAGUUCAGUAUUUCGAGCUCACUUUUCACAAGAGACAUAGGGAGAUCGUGGUCGAUUCCUAUCUGCCUUUCAUCAUCGAGGAGGCCAACUCCAUCAAGCGGAAGAAGAAGACGUUGAAGUUAUACUCUUCGAACUCCAAAGGCAGUAAUUUUCGUCCACAAUUAAGUUGGAAUCAACGAGGUUAUCUCUAAAUAUGUUUAAUUUCACAGAAUCAUCUUAGUUCAAUGGGACUCGUCGGAAGUAUCGUAGACAGUUGCAAUCAAAUGGUCAAGUCCAAAUAUAAGUAUUGGCUACAGAAAAGGUCACGUGUAAAAUUUUAAAGAACAUUAGGGUCAAAACUCACUGGAACAGUCUUGCACCUCUUGUAUACUAUCUACUCUGAUUCUGCUCUCUAUUUCUUCAACAGAAGAUUGAAUUUUGUAUCUCCAUCACAAUUUCUUUCCUCUACAGGUUCUCUCUCGGGUAAGUGGUCUCUGGUGAACCUCAACCACCCGGCGACAUUUGAGACGCUAGCCAUGGACCCAAAGCUCAAGAAGAUGCUCAUCGACGAUCUCGACAGAUUCAUAGGAGGAAGGAGUACUAUAGGUGAUCCGGCAGAAACUUUUGGUAUCAAAGUGAGCGUCGUACACAAUUUAUGGCACCAUUAGUAUACUUAUCCCCCUAUAGUACUCCUUCCUCCUCACGGUGGCCAAGCGACGAUGGCCGAGCAAGCUAGGUCGGCGAGGAUGAACAAAAAAAAAAACCCUAAUUUCAAUCACAAAUGAGCUAUACGGCAUAGUUUUUCCUAAGCCAUCCACAUAGGACGGCAACUUAAGUGAUCCGACGGAAACUUUUGGCACCAAAAUGAGCGCCAUAUACAACUUAUGGCACCAUUAGUGUACUUAUCCUUACUAUAGGAGAGUCGGCAAGGUGUGAAAAAGAGGGUACUUAUUGUAUGGACCUCCCGGCACAGGGAAAUCGAGCCUAGUCGCGGCAAUGGCCAAUUACAUGAAAUUUGACAUAUAUGACCUAGAGCUAAGCGGGCUCUGGAGUAACGCGGAACUCAGGAGGCUGCUCGUCACCACUGCGAAUCGGGCCAUAUUAGUGGCCGAGGACGUCGAUUGCACCAUCACGUUGCAAGAUAGGAGGUCGGAAGCCCAAGCCACAAGCACGAAUACAAUGUCGUCCCCAUAUCGGCAACAGGAUGCGGUACAAUUUUUUUUUUCUUUUGGCAUUGUUUUUCAGUAUUAGGUUUACUUCUAGUGUUGCCUCCUAUGCAUAUGAUCCAUCCUUGACAUUUAACUUAUAUUUGUCACUAUGACAUUGAUUUCUUUCUCAUGGAACAGCUGACGUUGUCUGGAUUUCUUAACUUCAUUGAUGGGCUUUGGUCUAGCUGUGGCGAUGAACGGAUCAUAGUCUUCAUGACGAACCAUAGGGAGAGACUAGACCCGGCUCUAUUGCGUCCAGGGCGCAUUGAUGUAGAAGUUCCCAUGCUCUACUGCACUCCGUGCGGUUUCAGGCUUCUCGCUGCUAAUUAUCUUAGGAUCAAUCACGACGAGCUCUUCAACCAUAUUGAGAGUUUGCUCAAGACAGCCAGAGUCACUCCAGCCGAAGUAGCCGAGCAAUUGUUGAAGAGUGACGAACCAGAGGUGGCUCUCAGGGAUAUGGUUACCUUCCUCGUUGAUCACAAGAGGAAAGAAAAUGAUGAAGUCAUCAAGAAGAAAGUUUGUCGGUGCCAAUUGGUCGAAGAAAAUAGAGUGAGUGAAGAGAAAAGCGGAAAGUGCGAACUAAUUGAAGAAUAAAUAAUAAAUAUCGACUGUGUUGGUAUGUUUCCAUCAAAUUUAAUUUGGAGUAUUAUAAAGAUGGUGAUUAUUGAGGUCACAGAAGCAAUUGAUGGGAAGUUAUUGCCCGAUCAUCGAAAUCAUUAAUUAAGUGGGUCGGAUGGUAACAUGGCAUGUAAUUUAAGUGAAUUUAAUCAAGAGUUUAGAUGAACCGUGUGAUAUUUUUUUCGUAAUUGAUAUUCAUAUCAUGCCGGCACUAUAUUUUGCUUUAUAUAGUUAUAUCACGUCAACGACACAUAAUCAGACAGUAAUGAUUUCUCAUGUUUAGGGCCUCCCAUGAUUUUUUUUUAGUAUUUGCUUGGGUUUGCCGAAAACGUUAUCCAUCUGGUUUAGUCCAACCAUUUGGUUCAAGGUGUAUACUGAUCUGAGCACCCUGCUAAUUCUUGAUAGUCUUCCGUUGCACACACAUCAAUUAAUUACUAAAUUCACAUAGGUCCGUGUUUUGAGUAUGUCCUCAAGAAAAUGCGGAAGUAGAGUGGUUUGAAUUCAAUCGAUCAGCGAUAAAAGACAAAUGAGGUCGUCGUUUGCACAAUCCCAUGAGGUUCUCACUUGCGUAAUCAUUUAGGGGUUACCAUUUUUUCCCAGAACACCACAAGCUUGGCAAAAGCGGAAAGACGGCAAAAGGUUCCAACUAUCUCUGGUUUUUCUUGCUCGUAUCGUGCAGCGAGAGUUAAGGAGAGAUUGAUAAAUAAAUCAUUCUAAAUGUAACUGAUCUAUUCAAAUUUUGAUCUUUAACUAGUCCCGCCAAUCAAUAAACAAGCCUAUGCUAUCUAAUUAAACUAAAUUGAAGUGGAAUGUGCCGUGGUUUUGCCUUACAUCGAGAUGCAAAUCAUUGAAUUAGAUGUUGCGUGGGAGAUUGGUCGAUAGGAUUUUAACAUCAAGAUCAAACUUUACGAAGACUUGGACUAAGAACAGUGUAUGAAUUAACUUCGUCCAGAAGGUAACACAAAGGCGUACCAUGCGGCGUUUGUCCCUUUGUGCUUUACAGCCAGACUUCCUCCAUGCGUUUGUCCUUUUGUGCUUUACAGUCAGACUUCCGUGGAGAAUGUCACUAGCUCACCCCUUUAAAUGCAAGACCGACUCAUUGACAAUAACAUAUGCAUCUACAAUUCUCUAAUUCUCUUAUAUAUGGCCACUUGCAACUCACGAUACCCUCCGAUCAAAUACCAUCUAUACCAAACAAAGUAAACUGAAAGAAUGGUGACCUAUUCCAAACAAAUUAAACUGAAAAGAAUGGUGACCCUGACUCGAAAUGUAUGAAGUUGAAGAGGUUGACAAAGGAGUUAGUGCUAAUUAAACCGCGGGCACGCAGGUGGGUAUGAUGGAGUUUAGUCCACAACCAAUCAUCUCUUUAGGUACACUAAAGAAACCCCACACUUAUUAAUUGACUCACUUCCUCUCACGUUUCCUAUGUGAGACAAAGAAACAUGCACUUAGUUUGUUUUACGAACAAACUUCCAACACAAACAACUCCAAGAACCCCGUGUGGCGGCCAAGGCAGUGCUGUCUGCCGCAGCCUCCAUGAUGCCUCCAUGAUGGUGGUGUAGUUGCUGGUUCGACGUCAAAGGCAACUGUCUGUGGAGGCAUCUGAGCAUUAAUUUUGUACUGCUUCAGAAAAUUUUUGCACCAUACAUGGCUUAAUUGAAAAAUGUGCAUACUUGUCCGAACACACUGCAUUAUUUUCCGAGUAUGAUGGCUUCUCUCGUGUUGGAAGUAUGGCACUCAUGGGCGCUGGCAUUCCAUUAUGAGAACGUAUAGCAGUGUUCCGGUGGGUCUUGUCGGUGAAGUUGAUCCAGUGACGGGUGAAAUAACUGAUUACCAGAUACUUACUGAUAUACUUUUAAGUGUUACUUUUGUUUGUUUCAUUUGUGCUUAUAUGAAAAGCAAUGCACUUUUAGUUGAUGCUUGAUAGAGAAUCCUUUAGAACCAUGUCCACCUGUAGGAUUAUCCUUGUCUGCAAAAUUUGUGUAUUUUCACGUAUAUCUUAGUUAUCUUUCACAGUUACGGCGCAGAUGCUUUUGAAAUCCUUUUUUUUCCUGCUUUUCUUGAGAAAUGAUCCUGCAAGUUAACUUGAUCAUUGCUAUUUUACUUACAGGGUUUGAUGAGCAUGUCCUUUUCUAGGGUCUGGAAGAUCAUCUUGGAGAUAUGGACUUUAAAAUUGCUGGCACUAGAAAGGGAGUUACGGCUAUUCAACUGGACAUAAAACCAACUGGAAUACCUCUGGACAUCAUAUGCGAAUGUUUAGAACCUGCACAUAAAGGCCGUCUGCAAAUUUUGGACCACAAUAUACAGAGAAAUCAGUUUACCACAUACCCAGUAUGAUAGAGAUACUCCUCAAUUAGGUCAACUUCUUGACUGUUCAUAGUCCCAUGUUUCAUUAGUAUGAAAAGCCAUGCUUUGACUGAAAUUUCGUUAUUUUAAUUCAGCAACUCUUACGUACAUCAAUGAUGCUCUAUAUGAAAUAUUUUGAUUCACAAAGUACCGAUUACAUGUAAUACGAGAAAAGCAUUAUAUUGGAAAUUGUAAACUUUAUUUUAUUUGGUUACUUAGCUAAUAUUUAGUGGGCAUUUUUUAUUAAAUGCUUACAAAUAAAAUAAAAGUUUGCUCAUUUUCCCUUACCAAUAAAUACUUCGAGAUUAUACAUAAACGAGAGCAUUUGUGAAUAAAGGUAGUUUGAAAAGCCCCUGCAUCACGUGCUCUUCUCUUUGAAAUCCGACUAACUCAUCUAAAACCCACUCCACCUCCUCUCUUGGUCUGCCUUUGCCUCUGCUCGACAAGCCUCGACACCAUGUCUAAACAUUCGCAAGAAGGGAAGCCUAAAAGAAGGAUUAUGACAGAUUAAGAAGUAUGUAGAGACAUCGGAGAAUUGAUCCAAGAUUUGGAAAAAAGGUCAGUGUUUUGCGGGAUCUGAGCACUGACUAUGUGUUGGUAUUUGAUUUCUCCAAUAUCACUUUCUUGGAUGAAAUUAGCAGAGGAAUUGGCAGAGGUGGAAAUAGAUCCAGUGUUUUUAGGGGCAUGCAUCGUGGGCAUUCCAUUGCCCUGAUAAAGUUCCCUACUAGACAUGUCACGAUAGAUGAAGAUGUGGUCAAUGUUUUAAUUGAGAGUCAACAUCAAAACACCAUGCACAAUCGUGUAGUGUCUUGUUACAGGGGAUCCAUAUUAAUACUAUAGCGCUUCACUUACGUAGCUUGAAUGAUAUUGUUAAUUCUCAAUAUCUGCCCUACUGAUGAACCCUCAAUUGUCCAAUAUAAAAGGAAGAUAUUAUCUUAAGGAAAUGUUGAGGGAUAUAAAACUGUGGAUUGAUGAUAAACCAUCGUGGAUUAUGCUAAAACUUAUGAGGAAUGCAAAAAAUUUGGAUUAGAUGAUGCACGGCACAGCAAAUUAACAUGUUAUUUGUAUUCUGAAAUACACAGAUUUGGUACCAGGUCUUGAACUAUAGUACAUGAUAAUUUGAGAUCAGAAAAUAUUUUGAUCAUAGAAUUUGAGGUUCUAUUGGUGAAAUCUCAUAUGUCAAUGUCAUGGAUAGAUCAAUCUAACGUUCCUUAACUCAUGCGGCCUUAACAUUUUUCCCAAGUCAAUUUUACUCACAAUCGACUCAUACUUGUGAAUAAGAUGAUACAAAUUAGGGGAGGAGACUCUUAUAUAUAUUAGUACAAGACAAACCGUAUCCGUAGAUCUCUCCUUGAUUUAACAGUAGAUAUUGCAUCUUCCCAAGUCCAAUUACCCGUAUUUAUUACAUGCGUAUAUAAUUAUGUAUCGUCCACUCCAUAGAGUAUUCUAAAACACUUGAGAAAAUCUUAGAACUUUGGGAAAUAUGUGGCUCAUAUGGUGAAAUCACAUGGUCAAUAAUCUAGGCGAACUCGAUUUACAUAGUCUAUCAACCACCUGAAAUCUUUUCGUGAUCGACAUUCAUAUCAUGCCGACAAUAUAAUUUGCUUUAUGGCGUCAAGAACAGGCAAUGUGGCAGUAAUGCUUUCUCAUGAUUUGGACCUUCCACGGAAUCUCGCAGUUGCUUGGGUUGGCAGAAAAAAAUAUUUGUCUGAGCUUGGAUUCUAGUCCAAUCAUUUGACUCGCACUAAUUCCCGAUAGAUUCCUAGUCAUCCUCUGCUUUAGUCACAUGGGCACGUCCUCCAGGGAUGGUCCCAAUCUCAAGAAAAUGCGCACGAAAUUGAUCGGCAACGAAGAGAAUUGAGUUCAUGCUUCUUUUCCUAGGAACCCUACAAGUUUGGCAAAAGCAAACUGAGCCAGGAAAGGUUCCCCACUAAUAUUAGUUGUAUUCGAAUGGACUUUACUAAUAUAAAAGUCUUUAAAUACUGUGAGAAUAAUAAUUUAUUAUAAAUCAUAAAUUUUUAAAGGAGUAAACCUUAUAAUAAUUUAUAAUAAUUUAUUAUUUGAUUUUUUUUGUGAUUAAAAAAAGGUUGUUAUUUUAAUAAUAAAGUAAAAAUUAUCAUAUAAUCAUUUCUUUAUUCGAAUCAGGCAGCGGGAGUUAAGGAGAGAGCGGUCAAUAAAUCAUCCUAAAAUGGAGCUAACCUACAUCGAGAUGCGAUCAGUGAAUAAGAUAAUCGCCCGGGGCUGGUCGAUCUGGUUUAAAUAUUUGCUACCACCCCUCGAAAGAAAAAGGCCAAGAACGACUCACCGUCGGGGGCAAGAACCAAGGUCUUCGAAGACUUGGACUAGGAACAGUCCAGGAACCAGCUCAGACAAGAAGGAUUCCGUCAUUUGCAGAGAAUUCAUCGCCACUUUCAUCUCCCGAUUCCCUCCGGUCAUAUACCGUCAGUUCCCCAUAGAUUGAACUCAAAAGAAUGGUGACCCCGCCUCUAAACGACUCCAAGAACCCCAUCGCGGUGGCCGAGGCAGCGCUGUCUGCCGCAACCUCCGUGAUGGUGGUGCAGUCGGUGGUAAGAACGUUCAUGCCCCCCGAAUUCCAGGGCUUCCUCUUCUCUGGUAUCCGCGGCUUCUUGUCUCGCUUCCGCAGCGAAAUGACCAUGGUCAUCGAACAGUACGAUGGGUACGCCCAGAACGAGCUCUUUCGGGCGGCCCAGGUUUUCCUGGCCGCCAAGCAAUCCCCUUCGAUGACGCGCAUGCGAGUGACCAAGUCCCCGAAGGAGAACCACUUCAAUCUGGCUAUGGACCGGAAUCAAAAGCUGGAGGAUACGUUUCACGGGGUCAAACUCAAGUGGGUUUUCGUGUCGAGACAGGUCGACUCGGGCAACCGAGUUCAUCAAGGCCGGAAUUCAACGGCUAAACACGAAGAGCAAUACUUCGAGCUCACUUUUGACAAGAAACACAGGGAAAUCGUGGUCAAAUCCUAUCUGCCUUUCCUCAUCGACGAGGCCAAGUCCAUAAAGCAGGGGAAGAAGACGUUGAAGCUAUACACUCCGGGCUCCAACGGUAAUUCUACUAUUAGAAGUGGAAAAAGAGUGAUGCUAAAUUCACAAAAACUCCGUAGUUCAAUCAGUAAAAUCCUAAAGAAGAUUAAGAACAAAAUUCAGUAGAGCCAGCCUUGCACCUUCUUAUCUAUGAUUCUGCGUUCGAUUUCUUGAACAAAAUACUGAAUUUUGUAUCUCCAUCACAUUUUGUUUCCUAUAGGUCCUUACCCAAGUGCGUCAGGUGCGUGGUCCCCAGUGAACCUCGACCAUCCGGCGACAUUCCAAACACUAGCCAUGGACCUGGAGCUCAAGAAGAAAAUCAUGGAUGAUCUCGACAGGUUUGUGAGAAGGAGGGAGUACUACAGGAGAGUUGGCAAGGCGUGGAAAAGAGGGUACUUAUUGUAUGGACCCCCUGGAACGGGGAAAUCGAGUUUGGUCGCUGCGAUGGCCAAUUACUUGAACUUCGACAUAUACGACCUAGAACUGAGCGGGCUCCUGAGCAAUGCGGAUCUCAGGAGGCUGCUUGUCGAGACCAAGAAUCAAUCCAUAUUGGUGGUUGAGGACAUCGAUUGCACCAUUCAGUUGCAAGAUAGGAAGUCGGAAACACAAGCCGCCAACAUGAAUUUGAUGUUAAUGGGUUAUAAGCGACAAUAUCAAGUACAAUUUUUUUCUUCUUGCUUUCUUUUUGAGUAUAAGUUCUAGUACCGUGAACAUGAUUUGUCCUAGACAUUUAACUCAUGUUUGUGACUACAACAUUAAUUUUUUCCUCAUGGAAUAGGUGACAUUGUCUGGAUUCCUCAACUUCAUUGACGGGCUUUGGUCGAGUUGUAGUGAUGAGCGGAUCAUAGUUUUCACAACAAACCACAUUGAGAAAUUAGACCCAGCCCUAUUGCGGCCAGGGCGCAUGGACUUGCACAUUCCCAUGUCUUAUUGCACCCCUUGCGGGUUUAGGCUUCUCGCUUCUAAUUAUCUCGGGAUCGAUCACCACGAGCUCUUUGGCCAGAUCGAGAGUGCGAUCACAACAGCCAGAGUCACUCCAGCCGAGGUAGCGGAGCAGUUGAUGAAGUGCGAUGAACCGGAGGUCGCUCUUGGGGACAUGGUUUCAUUCCUCAUUAAUCACAAGAGAAAAGAAAAUGAAGAAGUCAUUGAGGAGAGAGUUGGUCGGUCCCAAUUGGUUGAAGAGAAUGGAAGGCGUGAAGAAGAAAGCAGCGAGUGCGAAAUAUUGGAAGAAUAAACAAUAUAUCAACUGUGUUGGUACGUUUCCAUCGAUUUUAACUUAGACUAUUAUGAAGAUCUUGAUUAUUGUGGAUUCAAUCACAAAAGCGAUCGAUGGAAAGCUAUCGUGUAUUCAUCCGAAUUAUUAAUAAUCUGAGUCCAAUGGUAAAAUCAUGUGAUCAAACGGAGUAAAUGAACUCAAUUUAUAUGAUUUACGAGCCAUGCGAUAUUUUUUAGCGAUUGAUAUUCAUAUAGUGCCGAUGGUAUAAUUUGUUUCAUAUAGUUAUCGCGUCAAGGACUUAUAAUCAGACACUGAUGAUAUCUCAUGUUUUGGGCCUCCCAUGACAUCUUGUAUUUGCUUGGAUUGGCUGAAACCAUUCCCUGUCCGAUUUAGACCAACCAUUGGGGUCAAGGUCAUUUCGGUCUUUUUGUUCCUCAUUGGCGAGAUGGAAAUUUUCUCUUUUUUCCUUUUCUUUUAAUAUUACAGGGGUUCUGGACUUAUUUGAGUUUAAUAUGAUAAUCCUCCAUUGCACACAUAUCGAAUAAUUACUAGAUUCACGUAGGUCUAUGCUCUGAGUAUAUGGUCUUAACAAAAAUGCCCAAAUACAAUGGUUCGAAUUGGAUCGAUGAGCGAUCAGUGAAGAUGAGGUUAUCACUUGCGUAAUCUUUUAUGGUUUGUUUUUAUCCUAGAAAACGAUAAGCUUAGCAAAAGCAGAACGACCGACAAAAGGUUCCAAUUAACGAUAGUUAUUCAUAUCGUGCAGCGGGAGUUAAGGAGAGAUUGUUAUAUAAAUCAUUUAUAAAUGCAACUGAUUUACUGGAAUUUUGAUCUUUAAAUAGUCCAGCCAAUCGAUGAACGAGUUUAUACUAUCUAAUCAAAUGAAAUUGUAGUGAAAUGUGCUGUGAUUUCUCCCUUACAUCGGAAUGCAAAUUCAGUGAAUUUGAUAAUUUCAUGGGAUCGGUCGAUCUGAUUUUAACAUCAAGAUUAAAGUGCACAAAGAGACUCAGAACAGUGCAUGAAUCAGCUUGGUCGAGAAGGUAACACAAAAGUGCAUCAUGCAUUUGUACCUUUGUGCUUUACAAUCAGACUUCCAUAGGACCGACUCAUUGACAAUAACGUAUCCAUCUACAAUUCUCUAAUCCUCUAUUGGUUCUUUCCCGAGUGCGUGGUUGCCUGUGAACCUCGACCAUGCGGCGGCAUUCCAGACGCUGGCCAUGGACCUAGAGCUCAAGAAGAUCCUCAAUGAUCUCGACAGGUUCGUGAGGAAGAGGGAGUACUAUAGGAGAAUUGGCAAGACAUGGAAAAGAGGGUACUUAUUAUAUAGACCGACUGGAACGGGAAAGCAAGCAUGGUUGCCACAAUGGCCAAAUACUUGAACUUCGAUAUAUACAACCUAGAACCGAGCAGGCUCCACAGCAAGGUGGAGCUUAGGAGGCUGCUCGUCGACACCACAAAUCAGUCCAUAUUGGUGGUCGAGGACACUGAUUGCACCACUAAGUUGCAAGAUAGGAUGUCGGAAACACGAACCACCAGCAUGAAUCCGCUGUCGAUGGGUUAUUAGCGACAAGAUCGAGCACAAUUUUUCCUUUUGGCUUUUCUUUUUUGGUAUGAGGUCUUGUUCAAUUGCUGCAUACUAUGAAUAUGAUCCAUCUGCGAUAUUUAACACAUGUCUGUACCUUCAACAAUUUUUUUUUUCCUAAUGGAAUAGUUAAGGUUGUCUAGAUUUCUCGACUUUAUCGAUGAGCUUUGGUCGAGCUACAGUGAUAACGAAUUAUAGACUUCACAAUAAACCAUAUUGAGAAACUAGACCCAGCCCUAUUGCACCCAAGGCACAUGGAUUUGCACAUUCCCAUGUCCUAUUGCACCCCUUAUGGAUUCAGGCUUUUGUUGCGAGUCAAUUGAUCUAAUGUUCCCUAACCCAUGCGGCAUUAGGUCUUCUUUCAAGUCAGUCUUACUCACAUUCAACUCACAAAAAUCAUAGAGAGGAACUCUAAAACGAGAAUUAUUAGUAUAUUUCACUUGCGAAUAAGAUGAUGUAAUCUAGGGAGAGGAUGCCCCUAUUUACACAAGUACAGGGCCAACCAUAGCUGUAUAUCUCUUCUUGGAUCUAAUGGUGGGGUUUAAAUCUCCCAAAAUCAUCACAAUCAUUACUUAGAUGUACACUUAUCCUAUUGCCCCUUUCCAAGGAGUAUUUUAGAACACCCUAGGGCUUCGGCAAGCUGGAGAGUCAUUUGUUCAUGGAUGGGUCAUGACCCUUUAUUUGGGAAACUUUGGAGCGCAUCAAUUUCUUCGGUCGUGACACUUCUCACUUCUAUUUAUCUUGGGAUCAAUCAUCACAAGCUCUUCGACCAGAUCGAGAGUACGAGUACGACAUCUAGAGUCACUCCAGCCAAAGUUGUGAAGCAAUUGAUGAAGUGCGACAAACUAGAGGUCACUCUUGGGGACAUGGUUUCCUUCCUCGCGAAUCACAAGAGGAAAGAAAAUGAAAAAGUGAUCAAGGAGAAAGUUCGUGGUCUUGAUUGUAGAAAUUGGAGGAAAUAAAGCAACGAAGGUGAGCUAAUUGAAAAAUAAAUAAUACAUAUUGACAGUAAUGGUAUGUUUCCAUCAAUUUUAUCCAUAUUAUUAUAAAGUUCUUUGUAUUAAGCAUGAUAAUAUGACAACUAGACUCAUCAAACUAAUAGGUCAAAUCGAACCAAAUUUGAAAACAAUAUAACCCUAAAUGUAAAUUUGGAGACCCAUAUCCAACUUGGCUCAACGUCUACUUUUAGCAAUUUUUUCUUUUUAAAUUGUUGUUUUGAAGAAUAGGCGACUCCAUGGACUAGCUCGUCGAGUUACUGAGGGAGCUCGGGGUUUAGUUAUAGACAAGAGUAUUAAAGUGACGGUGAAAGUCCAGCCUGGGCCUUGCAUAAGUCAUGAAAGAGUUUGGGCUUUAAACUCAUUUCCUGUUAUUUGUAAAAUCUUAAAUGACCCAUACGCAACCUGGCCCAUAGAAUGUGAAUUGAAAAACGGGUUCACACCCCCCAUGCCUUGCUCCAAUGCAACUUAUCGGUUUGAAGUGACGCAUCUGGCAGCUGACCAGUAAGAUUGUCUCCAAGUCAUGGGGAAGGAAUUACAUGUCUGAACAGCUGAUGAUCGGCUUAAUCUUUUCUCUUCCUCAAGUCAUGUAUCAGAAAAUCCAAAUAAACCCUUUAUGUACUAGCAAACGUUCCUGAAGAUUCCUGUGCAGCUAAUAACAAAAUCAGAAGGGGUAAUUCACAUAGACAUUUCACCAAGCAUGUGGGUGACAACAUGCAUAUUUCCAACAGACUCAUAUUUGUGAAUGAGAUGAUACAAAUGAGGGGAGAAAACCCUUAUAUAUAUUAGUACAAGGCAAACCAUAUCCGUAAAUCUCUCAUUGAUUUAACAGUAGAUAUUGCAUCUCUCCAAUUUCCAAUUACCAUAUUUAUUACAUGCGUAUAUAAUUACGUAUCGUCCACCCCAGAGAGUAUUCUAGAAUACUUGAGAAAAUCCUAGAACUUUAGGAGAUAUGUGACUUAGAUGAUAAAAUCACGUGAUUAACAAUAUAGGCGAACUCGAUUUACAUAAUCUGUCAACCACCUGAAAUCUUUUCGUGAUCGAUAUUCAUAUCAUGCCGACAAUAUAAUUUGCUUUAUAUUGUUAUGUGGCGUCGAGAACACACAAUGUGGCAGUAAUGAUUUCUCAUGGUUUGGACCUUCCACGGAAUCUCGCAGUUGCUUGGGUCGGCUGAAAAAAUUAUUUGUCUGAGCUUGGAUUCUAGUCCAAUCAUUGGACUCGAAUUAAUUCUCGAUGGAUUCCUAGUCAUCCUCUGCUUUAGUCACAUGGGUACGUCCUCCAAGGAUGGUCUCAAUCUCAAGAAAAUGCGCACGAAAUUGAUCGGCAACGAAGAGAAUUGAGUUCAUGUUUCUUUUCCUAGGAACACGACAGGUUUGGCAAAAAGCAAAAUGAGGUAGGAAAGGUUCCCACUAUUAUUAGUCGUAUUCGAAAGGGCUUUAUUAAUAUAACAGUAUUUAAAUAUUAUGAAAAUAACAAUCUAUUAUGAGUCAUAAAUUUUCAAAAGAAUGAGUUUCAUAAUAAUUUAUAAUUAUUUGUUAUUUGAUUUUUUAUUGUCCAGAAUAAGUUGUUAUUUUAAUAAUAGAGUAAAAAUUAUUAUAUAAUCAUUUCUCUAUUCGAAUCGUGCAGCGGGAGUUAAGGAGAGAGUAGUCAAUAAAUCAUCCUAAGAUGGAGCUAACCUACAUCGAGAUGCGAUCAGUGAAUAAGAUAAUCGCACGGGGCUGGUCGAUCUGGUUCGAAUAUUUGCUACCACCCCUCGAAAGAAAAAGUCCAAGAAGGACCCACCGUCGGGGGCAAGAACCAAGGUCUUCGAAGACUUGGACUAGGAACAGUCAAGGAAUCAGCUCAGACAAGACGGAUUCCGUGCAUUUGCAGAGAAUUCAUCGCCACUUUCAUCUCCCGAUUCCCUCCGGUCAUAUACCGUCAGUUCCCCAUAGAUUGAACUGAAAAGAAUGGUGACCCCGCCUCCAAACGACUCCAAGAACCCCAUCGCUGUGGCCAAGGUGGUGCUGUCUGCCGUGGCCUCCAUGACGGCCUCCGUGAUGGUGGUGCAGUCGGUGGUUCGACCAUUCAUUCCCCCCGAAUUCCAGGGCUUCCUCUUCUCUGGGAUCCGCGGCUUCUUGUCUCGCUUCCGCAACGAAAUGACCAUGGUCAUCGAACAGUACGAUGGGUACGCCCAGAACGAGCUCUUUGGGGCGGCCCAGGUUUUCCUGGCCGCCAAGCAAUCCCUUUCGAUGACGCGCAUGCGAGUGACCAAGUCCCCGAAGGAGGACCACUUCAAUCUGGCUAUGGACCGGAAUCAAAUGCUGGUGGAUACGUUUCACGGCGUCAAGCUCAAGUGGGUUUUCGUGUCGAGACAGGUCGACUCGGGCCACCAAGUUCAUCAAGGCUCAACGGUUCAGCACGAAGUUCAGUACUUCGAGCUCAGUUUUCUCAAGAAACACAGGGAGAUCGUGGUCAAAUCCUAUCUGCCUUUCCUCAUCGACGAGGCCAAGUCCAUAAAGCAGGGGAAGAAGACGUUGAAGCUAUACACUCCGGGCUCCAACGGUAAUUCUACUAUUAGAAGUGGAAAAAGAGUGAUGCUAAAUUCACAAAACUCCGUAGUUCAAUCGGACUAAAUGGGAAGUAUCAUAUCCAGCUCAAAAAUAAGUACUUGCUGCAGAAAAGUUCAUCAGUAAAAUCCUAAAGAACAUUAAGGUCAAAAUUCAGUAGAACCAGCCUUGCACCAUCUUAUCUAUGAUUCUGCGUUCGAUUUCUUCAGCAAAAGACUGAAUUUUGUAUCUCCAUCACAUUUUGUUUCCUAUAGGUCCUUACCCAGGUGCGUCAGGUGCGUGGUCCCCAGUGAACCUCGACCAUCCGGCGACAUUCCAAACACUGGCCAUGGACCUGGAGCU
This 74706-nucleotide long non-coding RNA is filed under the name Eucalyptus grandis. RNAcentral describes it as "long non-coding RNA (EGRA_LNC006063)". The record is from RNAcentral. Lineage: Eukaryota; Viridiplantae; Streptophyta; Magnoliopsida; Myrtales; Myrtaceae.